UUUUAUUCAAGUCGUGCUGAUCUUGAAAUGUCGCUGCAGAAACCAAUCUGCCAUCAAUAUUUUAACGGUGUAACCAGCUUGAGAGUGUUUUUCUUUUCUUUUCUUUUUUCAAAGGACUGGCAAACAUGCUUGCAACGGAAGAAAAAAAUAUCCAGUUUAGCUAUACUGGCUCAUAUGCCCGUGCGUUGCAACGGAAAAAAUGGAUGUGUCCAACCAAACGCCCAUCAGUGUGCCAUGACAAUAUCCUCGGAGGCUAGAAGGCGCAUGCUCACGUGUAGAAGAAAUGCAUAUCAUGGUUUAAUCUUCAUUAACUGCGACGGAUGCAUAUCAUGACCACUGAAUGAGUAGGAAUAUUACAUGGUAGUUUACUUUUAGUAUUUGUAAGAAUUUAAUUCAUCUCAUAAUCUACACAUAUGAGGGAAAGAAAUAAAAGUAGAACUUACAAAAAAAUGAGAUAGGCUCAACAAACCGGAAUGGACAGAGUAUGUUAUACUCCUUGAGAAUGCAUUAUAUCUGAAUCGCCGGUGAUAAGAAGCACUUACAUCCUCGACAUACAUAUUUUAGAAAACUGAUGAAAUGCAUAUAUCGGGAUAUUUAGAUUAAAUAAUUUAAUGUGUUAUCACACAGUUCACAAAUCACAUUUAAUUAAGGAAAACAUUGCUAGCCGGCCGAAGCGUUGCACAGACGCGAGAGCUGCAUUGGAUCUGGAUCGAUUCAUCGCUCCCUAUCAUGCCACUUAUUCACCUUAUCACUUCCCCGCUCAGUAGCUCGUCCACUCCUUCCCCGCACAUCAUGUUCUUCUUCCUUGCGUCGCUGUGGAGCACCACGCCUCGAUCCCAUCAUCUUCCACGCCGUUCUCAACCUUUCCCUGCUCAUCUCUUCCCAGUAGCUACUAGGGAGGAGGGGCUCUCCCAACCUGGUGCUGCAAGGAGGGGAGGAGGAUGGCAUGGAGAUUUUUGCUACAACCAUCUUUACGCGAUGGUACAACUAGCAUAGCAGCCUGCUAUAAACCACCGGCGUCUGUUUUUGCUACAAGCAACCACCCGCGUCCAGUUUUUGCUACAACUGUGUGCUUUUGUGCUACAACCAGCCUCUUGUUUUGCUACAACCCACCACCGAAGUCAAUUUUCUUGUUACAACCGUGUUGCCUUUCUGCUACUUUUGCUUCAACCGGCAACCACAAACUACUAACGGGCAAGCGUUUUUUGCCACGAUGGCGAUGGGUGCGGCGGCACCAGCGAGUUUUUUGUUAGAACCGGCACAUUUUUUGCUAGGCGGAUUUUUUUGCUGCUACCAGCAACCUGAGAAGAGUACAUUUCACGAGCACGUGGUUAGAGGUGCCGCCACCAGGGACCGUCUCCACUGGAGUUGUGGUGUCGCACCGGAGUUGCCCAUGUCGCCACAGGGAGAUCACUGACGCGUGUUGCUGGACUCGCGUAGCUGGAGAGAAACGCGGCAGACGAAGACGGCGACAGGCGGCGACCGUCGAUGAGGGCAACAUGCGAGACGCGUCGGGGCGGUGCUUCGAGGCGGGGCAUGUCGAUCGUCCAUGGCGGUGAGGUUGGAGUUAUUACUUAAAGAAGAAGGCGUCAGAGGGAGGAAGGAAGGAAAAAGAUCGUGCGGUUUGUACGUGAUUUGAUCGUACCGAAUCAAGCAGUUGCGGCCGACCGGCCAAAAAUUGGGCCGGUCGGCCAGUGCGUAGCUAUCACCUUUAAUUAAAGGGGCAAACACACUUUUUGAACUAAAAAUUUACAAAUACAUUGUACCAUACAUAGCCCAUAAUCCGAUAGACCCAAGCAGGGCACUCAUCCAACUAAGAAAACAGAGAGAGGCAUCGUGCAUAUCCUCGGCUUUUAUAGAAAAAAGAUGCCAACGACGUGCCGAGUGUCGAGCAUGCCACAAGAAUUAUUUAAAUAUAACGUGUUUCUCCAAUGUGAAAGGCUCGGAUCAGUCUGAAUCAUAUCUACGUAAACUCCUCUCCCUCGUUCCGUCUACCCCUCUGCUCUCUGGGGAAGCACUCCCCCUGACGCCUCGCCUCCUCUCCUCUUCUACUCCGCUGGCAUCCUCUGCUCUCCUCUUCUACUCCGCCAGCGCAUCCGGCCGUAGUAGAAGGAGAGGGACUCGUCGCCGCCUCCUCCCCUGUACCAUGUAAGGCCAGAUCUAUGUCCUUCUCUUCUGAUUUGGCCAGCAAAAUUAUAUUGUUAAAGCGUUUAUCGGCAUUAGUAAAAUUAGAUUGGAUAUGAAUGAAAUCAUCUGUAACAACGCAUGGACGCGUCGGCCAAACCUUGCACGGGGAAAAGGAAAGCAGAUUUCUCAUCUUAUUGAGAGAGAGACGCCUUAGGAUUGACCACAUUCAAACGCAUUAUGAUUGUGUUAGCACCGAGGCCACCGUCGAUGAGGGUGGGAGGAGGAUAAGUGGCAACACAGAUGGAAUGUCGUGUUCGAAUAAAUAACAUUGACCUAAUAGGGUCUUGAGUCACGGUUAUUGGUUAGGGCAUCGUUUAUUUUUUUCCCGUUGCAAUGCACAUGCUCUUUUGCUAGUAUAUAACAAAAAAACUAACAAGAAAAUAAUGAAAGGGAAACUCAGGUGGGCAGACCACUCCACGCUCGCGCGGGCGUCGUCACCCCUCCCCCCCUACAAGACUCAGUAAUUGUUAUAUAGCAAACCCGCCAGUGCUAUAUCUCCCUUAUGCCGAGCCGGAUCUCGCCUAAAGCUAUUUCAGAUCACUAUAUUACUUGGCGGGCCAACAACUUUUCUUUUGAAACUUAGCGGGCCAGUAACUGUAGCACUUUUUUACACAAUGUUGCAGUGUGUUGCAUUUGUUUUUCUGUUACCCCUGGAAAAAAAUCUUUUUUUUUAUUUCGGGUUCAUCAAAAUAAAAUCGGUUUUUAUUCAUUCUUUAUUGAUUUUUUUCCUUUUCCAUUCAUUUCUUGCCUUUUUCGCCUAGAUUUUGUUCGGUAUUGUUUUUAUUUUCUACAUUUUCAUUAAACUUCAUUGAUUUCACUGUGGUGUACUGUUUUGCAUCGUUUCUUCAGUUUUUGUUCAUUUUGUUUCACUUUUCUAUUUUGUUUGUUUUCUUUGUUUCUUUCCCAUUUUUAUCCUUUUCCAGUUAUUUUCCUGCCCUUUUAACACACGUCUACUUUCUUUUACUCACGAUGUAUAUUUUUCCUAUACAUUCAAAAAAAAUUAUACAUGUUUAACAUUUUCAAGUACAUGAUAUACUUUUCUUGAAAUAAUUUUUUGAUGUCUAUUUUUCCACGUACACGUUGUACAUUUCUCGUAUUCAUCUGAAACAUUAUUUUUAUACAUGUUUCAUAUUCUUUUAAACACAAGAUUGACAUUUUGUAAAUAUAUGUUUUGGUUUCUAAUUUUUUUGUCAUUUUCAUUGUAUAUUUUUCAUAUACACUAGGAAUUUUUUUAUAUAUAAUUAAUACUUUUUAAAUACAGUUAAUAUUUUUUAAAUACAAGACUAACAUUGUUUCUAAUAUAUGUGUUUGAAGAAUUUUAAAAUGUGCGUUAAACAUUUUUCAAAUGCAGGUUGUAACAUAUUUUUAAUGGUAUAAAUAUUAUUUUAUGGGUUACACAUUUUUUUUAUUGUAUGAACUUUUCUUAAUGUGAGGUACAAUUUUAUGGAACGCAUGAACUUUUUUUCAGGUCAAAAUUUUCUUGAAAGGUAUCAACAUUUCUUUAAAAUUAUGCUAACAAAAAAUACUUUGCAUUCAUAUUUUUCAAAUGUGCGGUGAACAUUUUCUAAUUUAUUAAUUUAUGUGUGCUGGUAUUUGAACAUUUUAAAAUUGUAUACUUAUUGAUAAAGCAAAUAGUGCUCCUCUUUGUCCGUCAAACCAUUUUGCAAAAAACACCCUGCAGUUUCUAGAAAUCAACUCGUGGUUCAACAUUAUAGUGAAUCGUUUUUCGCAUUUUACAUAAACUCCUUACCUUUUAUGCCAAUUAACCCGCACUCAUAAAACCCCUUGAUAUUUGCAUUAAUCAACCCGCGGUCCAUCUAAAAUAAAUGUUUUAUUAAAAUAACCAUAUAUUUUAAACCCUAUAUCCAAUUUUGACAUGUUAGAUAUGAAAUUUAAUUAAGAAAAUAUAUAGAAGCUGAAUAUGAUAUUAGUUUACCUGUUAACUAUUUUUAAAGUGCUAUUUCAGUUGCAAGCUUAAUCAGUGGUGCACGAUCCGGCUUCCUUUCUACCGGCCCUGAUUCGUAUUUCAAGCGAACAUGUUGUAUGCUUGUGUGCUGGUUGGCAAUGAGCGAGUAAAAUGAUUAUAAUGACGCCAUUCUAAUCCUUCGGCAUGUUGUACUUGCAUCAGGUUCUUUUCUUGUACAUGUUCCACACCUAAGACCCUACGUACGUACCUUUUCUUGGCCAAAUCCACACACGUACUUACCAACGGGCUACACAAUUCCUUUUUUUUAGUAAAUACACAAACAAUUUUCAUGGGAUGUACAUACAAUUAUAAAAUUCAUAAACAUCAAAAGUAGAUGAAUAUUUAUUUUGAAAAUAUCCAAACAAUUCUUGUGAAAGUCAUGAAGCAUAUUGAAUCCGUUCUUGUGAUAGUCAUGAACAUUAGUAUUGAAACCAAUAUGUAGGAUCUUAAUUUGUGUUCCAUUCGCUGCAUGUGACGAUGAAACAUAUAGGACUUAGGGUCAGUUUGGUUCAUGUCCUGGAUGUUUGAUGCCUGGCCUGGGGCCUCCCUGAGAGUUUCCUAGCUCCUGUUUGGUUGAGAUCCUGGUGACAAGAGAGCCAGCCUGGCCAGAAAAUCUGACAACGCAAUUAGCCUGGCCCCAAAAUGAUGGAAGUUGGUUAGCCUCGCCAGGCAUGUGAAUUUGGACGCCUGGGCUUGCCUGGAGUAGCAGCCUGGGCUUAAUAAUUAUAGGGCUCAAGGAAUGAGGCAGUAGGGAAGGAAUCAAAUCUCUGUUUCAGACAUUAAAUUGACUUUUAAGGACUCAGCAGGCCAGGUCGUGAACCAAAUAGGGUUUAGCUAUACUUGCCUGACCAGGCAAUAUUUUCCAGUUUCUCAGGCCCGUGCCAGGCAUCAAAAUUUCUCAGGCAUAGUGUUGAGGACACCAACCAAACUGACUAUUAAUCCAUAGACGCAGCCUCCUCAGUGUUUAAUGGCACCGCUUAGAUGUUGUCUGAGUGUUGCGUAGGUGCACACAUAUGAUAAGUCUGAAUCAAAAUCAAAAUAACGUCUUUGGUGAAAAAAUGCUUACUCUCUAGUUGCAACGCAUGAGCAUAUCUGCUUGUAUAAACAAAUGUAAAAAUAUAUAUAAGGAGAAGGACGAGUGAUUUAACACAUACAUAAGCAACCAACACACAACCAACUACUAGGCUGACCCUUGUAAAGCGUGUGUUGAAGCCACACUUGCUUGUAUCAUCCGAACGAGGAGUCCCUAGUUAUCGCUCUGUGCGGGGCGCCCCUACGUCUCGCUUUAAGCGAGACAGGGGGUGCGCUCGCGUCUUGGUGAGCCCAAGACGGGCCGGCCCAGCCGCGCGGAAGAUACAACCUGUUUUUUUUGUUUUUUUUUUCUGUUUUCUGUUCUCCCAUUUUGUUUUUUUGGUAUUUUUCUUUAUACUUUAAUAUACUCUACACACACACACACACACACACACACACACACACAUAUAUAUAUAUAUUACAAAAAACACUCUUCAAAAACACAUUUAAUUUUUAAAAUGUUCAAUAAGUGUUUGAAAAUGUUGAAUUAAUAUUAAAAAUGUUGAACAAGUAUUUAAAAGAUGUUGAAUAGAUAUUAAAAAAUGUUGAACGAGCAUAUGGAAAAUGUUGAAGAAGAACUUGAAAAUAUUGAAUAAGUAUUAAAAAUACUGAACUAGUAUUUGAAAAAUGUUGAAUAGGUAUUAAAAAAAUGUUGAACGAGUACAUAAAAAAUGUUGAAUAAGAAUUAAAAUUGUUGAACAAGUAUUUGAAAAAAUAUUGAAUAAUUGUUAAAAUGUUGAAUAAGUAUUUAGAAAAUGUUAAAAUAGCAUUCGUACAAUGUUGAACGUGUGUACAAAAAGUGUUGAUCACUUGUUACAAGAAAUGUUUUUGGCAUGUACGAAAAAGAAAAGAAAAUGAGAAAAGCAUUGAAAACCGAAGAAACGAAUGAAAAAAGAAUGCAAAAACUAACGCCCACACAUGUGGGUGUUUACACAUCGCCCACACGCCUCCAUCAUCACUCAUUUUGCCACGUAUGAAUAGAUGACAUCAGUAGAAAUCUUUUUGGUUUUCGGCUUAAAAAUAUCUCCUAAUUAAAAAAAACGAAUUAAAAAUCCGUUUUCACCAUUAAAUCCAUCUCGACGAGAUCUUCAAAACUAGACCCCAUGUUGAUAUGUUUCGACGAAUUUUUUUUUUGCCCAGAAGUUGCCAUGAUGUUUACAUUGUAGUUGCCAUAGUGCUUAAACUAAAGUUGCCAUGUGGCAAUUUUAGUUUGUAGAUCAUGGCAAUUUUUUUUUUUUAUGAUGGCAAUUCCAGUACUUUAACCAUGAAAAUUUUUUUUUGUAUGAACCAUGGCAAUUUUAAAUGCAUGUAUCAUGGCAAUUUUAGUUUAUGGUGCACGGCAAGUCUAGUUUCUUAAUUCCCUGUUUUAUAAUAUGUUAAAAUUUACUUUUGAAUGUAAAAGAAAAUAGCUAAAACAUAUCAUGGCAACUUCAGUGUAAAUAUCAUGGCAAUUCAUGUGCAAUAGGCAUGGCAACUUUUAACCCAAAAAAAUUUCGCCGAAAUAUAUCGAUAUGAGAUCUAGUUUCGAAGAUUUCGUCGCAAGGGAUUUAAUGGUGAAAACGGAUCUUCAAUCCGAUUUUUCAUUUAAGAGAUAAAACAUUUUAAAAAUUGAAAAUCAAAAAAGAUUUUCACAUGCAUGCAUGCGGUGACAUGGCGUAUUCUAUGUAUUAUAGGGCGUGUGAGCGGGUUUGACUCCCACCACACGUGUGGGCGUUAGCUUGUCCAAAAAGAAUGGGAAAAAACGGAGAAGAAAAAAGAAAAAGAACAAAAGAAGCGAAAAAAGGAAGAAAACCCGAAUAACAUAGAGGAACAUGAUGAAAGAAAAAGAAAAGGAAAAAAAGUAAAACAGAAAAACCCAGAAAACCAAUGAAAAUUGGCUCUUUAUGCCUCAAGUAGGGCGCGCCUAGGUACUUGAACACCAACUUGGCGUGAGCCUAGUGGUUAGGUGCUCUGCGCAACACGCUGUAGGCGUGAGACUGAAUCCAGGAUCCAACAUUUUUUUACUGCAUGCUAGUAACGGGCCAGGCUGUUACUGUAGCUGUCGACGCAAGAGCGAACUCUCCUCUCGCUUAAUAUGAGAAAUAGACGUUGCGCUCUCUGUGCCAGGUAGCAAGGCAACGCCCGCGCGCCUCUUGCGUGGGCUGGACCACUUUGUGAGUAAGCAGCCCAGUCGUCAAAAAAGGCGCGCCCAAAUCGGUCCUACUGUUGGGGUACAUAGUAAUUUCAGAAAAAAAAUCCUACGCAUACGCAAGAUCAUGGUGAUGCAUAGCAACGAGAGGGGAGAGUGUUGUCCACGUACCCUCGUAGACCGAAAGCGGAAGCGUUAGCACAAUGCGGUUGAUGUAGUCGUACGUCUUCACGAUCCGACCGAUCAAGUACCGAACGCACGGCACCUCCGAGUUCAGCACACGUUCAGCCCGAUGAUUGUCCCUCGAACUCCGAUCCAGCCGAGUGUUGAGGGAGAGUUUCGUCAGCACGACGGCGUGGUGACGAUGAUGAUGUUCUACCGACGCAGGGCUUCGCCUAAGCACCGCUACAGUAUUAUCGAGGUGGACUAUGGUGGAGGGGGCACCGCACACGGCUAAAAGAUCAAGAGAUCAAUUGUUGUGUCUUUGGGUGCCCCUGCCCCCGUAUAUAAAGGAGCAAGGGGGGGGGGGAGGCGGCCGACCAGGAGAGGGGCGCGCCAGGAGGAGUCCUACUACCACCGGGAGUAGGACUCCCUCCCUUCCUUGUUGGAUUAGGAGAAGGGGGAAAGAGGACGAGGAGAAGAAGGAAAAGGGGGGCGGCGCCCCCCUCCCCAUCCUUGUCCAAUUCGGACUAGAGGGGGAGGGGGCGCGCGGCCUGCCCUGGCCGCCCCUCCUCUUCUACACUAAGGCCCAUGUAGGCCCAUUAAUUCCCUGGGGGGUUCCGGUAACCCUCGAUACUCCGGUAUAUAUCCGAUAACCCCCGGAACCAUUCCGGUGUCCGAAUAUAGUCAUCCAAUAUAUCAAUCUUCAUGUCUCGACCAUUUCGAGACUCCUCGUCAUGUCCGUGAUCACAUCCGGGAUUCCGAACAACCUUUGAUACAUCAAAACAUAUAAACUCAUAAUAUAACUAUCAUCGAAACUUUAAGCGUGCGGACCCUACGGGUUCGAGAACUAUGUAGACAUGACCGAGACACGUUUCCGGUCAAUAACCAAUAGCUCCCACAUAUUAUACGAAGAUCUUUAUCGGUCAGACCGCAUAACAACAUACGUUGUUCCCUUUGUCAUCGGUAUGUUACUUGCCCGAGAUUCGAUUGUCAGUAUCUUAAUACCUAGUUCAAUCUUGUUACCAGCAAGUCUCUUUACUCGUUCCGUAAUACAUCAUCCCGCAACUAACUCAUUAGUUGCAAUGCUUGCAAGGCUUAAGUGAUGUGCAUUACCGAGUGGGCCCAGAGAUACCUCUCCGACAAUCGGAGUGACAAAUCCUAAUCUCGAAAUACGCCAACCCAACAAGUACCUUCGGAGACACCUGCAGAGCACCUUUAUAAUCACCCAGUUACGUUGUGACGUUUGGUAGCACACAAAGUGUUCCUCCGGUAAACGGGAGUUGCAUAAUCUCAUAGUCAUAGGAACAUGUAUAAGUCAUGAAGAAAGCAAUAGCAGAAUACUAAACGAUCGUGUGCUAAGCUAACGGAAUGUGUCGUGGAAUUGUCACGGCAGAUGUCCUUGUGCAAGGACUUAGUCGUGGAGCCAUCGCAACUAGGAAGCUUAAAGGGGUUAAGCGGGACAAGGAACACGAGGGUUAUACUGGUUCGGCCCCUUACGGUGAAGGUGAAAGCCUACGUCCAGUUGAGGUGGUAUUGAUUAAGGUUUCGAUGACCAGGAGCUAAAACGUCCUGCCUGGUUAUCGAUUUGGUCUACUCGUCCCUAAACCGCCGCCGGGUCGUCCCUUUAUAUAGAGAGGUAGACGCCCAGCGGUUCUCAGAGUCCCGGCCGGCUCAUAACAGUGUCCGGCUCGGACUCUUAACUAUUCUUGCCUUACACUACAAGUUUUGCCAUAACGGCGGUUUAUCACUACGGGCCUUAAGCCAUCUCUGGGUCUUAAGCCCAUCUUUGAUCCGCCGUCUCCAAGUUCGGUACUGGGCUUCACGUGAUGACCAUUAUGACGUAACCCGGCCCCUCCUGGGCAGGUGACCCAAUGGUUAUAUCCUCAACAUUAGGCCCCAGAUUGAUUUGACCCGGUUCAUGUCAAUCUUCAAUCCUUUUGAUAGAAAAUCUUCCGGCUUAUAUUUGUGCGAAGGCUAUAACCCGCCGUGACGUCAUCUUCUGGAUUCCUGGUAACCCGGCAUGACGUCAUCUUCCAUUAAAUUCAUUUUUUAUUUUGUCAUAUCCCAACGGAUCUUAUCUUUAAUGGUUAUCCCGAAAAUCGAGGCGUUUUCGUGGCACGAUAAUCACGUCGUGGCCUCCUCGUUUCUCGCGCCCACUCAUCAGCCGUGCCUUAUAAAUAGGCCCGACCCUUAUGUCUUCGUCAUCUUCCUCCUCUCGCUAUUGUACUGCUGCUCGAGCUCCACCGCCGCCGCCGCGGAUCUCCUCGUCUUCACCAACUCAGGCCGCUGCAUCAACCUGACUUGACCAGAAAAACGCGACGGAUCUCUGCGGUAACUCUGCAUCCGUAAGUUUUUCCCUCCCUGUUCCUUAGAUCCGCAUUAGUGAUCUUCGAGUUCGUCGGUGUUCGUCGCCGUUCGUCACGAACACUUGAUAGAUUCCACCUUUAACACCUUUCCCUGAUCCUUAGACAGUGUAAAACUGCUGCGGUAAUCGUUCCGCACCCGUUUUCGAAUGCACAUAGAUCCCUUUCCAUUGCACAGAGGCCCCGUUCGAGCCUAUGAACUUCAUCUGUGUCAGUUCUAGGUCUAGAAAUUUUCCCUUUCUGUACGAUCGUCUGAUCCAAAAUAAUUACUGCGAUCUGCGAAACUUGUUUGUGCCACACUUAGUCAAAAAUUGCAUCUGUUAGCUAUGACGGCUCACAUCUCCGGCUUAAAAGAGGCCACGCGCUGUGAAAUUUCCGGCUCAUUUAUGAUAGAGCUUUAAACAACUUGAAUUACUGACGAUGCCCACAACGGCUUAGAUAACCCGACACAAUUAGCCAUAUGUCAUUAGGCCCCUUCAUAAGCCGCCAUCUUGAGUGCUGAACUGUAAACUUCUUCCGGCUUAUAGUUGAACCGGACAUUUCCUUUUGUCAUAGGCUUCAUCUUUCACAAUGCCGCCCAAGGCUCCCAAGGCACCCAUCACGUGCAACUGGAUGAGAUCCAAUGUUACUGAUGAGACCUUAGCUGAUUUCGUGAAGACGGGUUAUCUACCAAAAAAGGAGGUUAUGUCCUAUCAUGCCCCUGACCCAUCCGAAGAAAGACCUCAACCAAGAGACGGAGAGGUUGUGAUAUUUGCUGAUCACAUGAGCCGGGGCUUUGCUCCUCCCGGCUCAAAAUUCUUCAGAGACGUUCUGAACUUCUUCGAUCUGCGGCCACAAGACAUAGGACCCAAUUCCGUGUCAAAUAUUUGUAACUUUCAAGUAUUCUGCGAAGUAUAUCUUGGAGAGGAGCCCAGCCUACUGCUCUUUAGGGAGCUGUUUUAUCUGAACCGCCAGAACGAGUGUGCCAACGGGCCUAGCUUGGAACUUGGCGGAAUCUCCAUUCAACAACGGAGAGACUGCCUCUUUCCUUAUGCUGAGCCGCCAAGCCACCCAAAGGACUGGAACCAGACAUGGUUCUACUGCCAGGAUACUUCUCCGGCUGAUGAGAACCCUCUGCCCGGCUUUCGUGCCCUGCGUCUGGAGCCAAAUCACCCCCUGCCAGACAAACUAUCUCAAGCUGAGCGUCAACCUCUGAUCCCCACCAUCAACAAGAUUAAGGCUCUCCUGGGAAAUGGCCUCAACGGCAUUGAUCUGGUCCGGGUCUGGAUUUCUUGGCGGGUGAUUCCCUUAAGCCGCCGCCCCGGCUUAAUGUGUGAUUACACGGGCCGGAAGGAUGAUCCUCUGCGGCACAGCCCCAACGACCUACCUGAGGACGUUGUUGACGACAUGAGCAACUCCCUCUUGAACGAGAGCUUAGCAGACUGCGGGAGGACCGGCUUAAGCCCCUUCUGCCAAGCUAACCCGGCUCCGGCGGUAAGCCACUGACCUGAGCAUCUUGCUUUCCCUUUUAAUAGUUUUCAUCUGAAGUUUAAGAAAUCUUUGUUGUAUUUUUCAGGCUAAUGAUAAGUUCUGGAAGGUCAAGUAUGACCAUGAGGCGGCUAAAAAGGCCAGGAAGGCUAAGAAAGCCGCCAGGAGAGCCGCUCCCCGCAAGAAGGGCAGUAAGCCUAGCGCCUCAGAGCUGCUUCAGCUAGAUGAUAGCUGCGAGUCAGAGGUAACCCUUGAUUCUUUAGGCUCUUCCUUUGUUUCUUGUUUGUUCUUAACCGCCUUAUCGACACUGAUUAUCAGCAGGAUGACACCGGAGCGAGUAACCCGGUGACUGAAGAGGUAACUAUACUUUCCUCCGACUCGGAGCCCUUGCCAAGGCCGAAAGUCCGAAGAGUAACCUGAAAAGUAAGAUUUUCACAUCCUUUAGCUUAUCAAGAUCCUCAAUUUCUUUUGAAGCAACAGAUUCAUGAGAGCCGGAGACAAACCCGGGCCAACAAGGAUGCAGACCUCUCCUCCGGCUUACCUGAAGCAUCAAGGAAACGCCGGACCGAGGUUAUCUCCAACUUAUACCCUUUUCAUCCUUUAGUGGGCGUCACUCGUCAACCGCUCAAUUCGUCUGAUUCAAAUUAUCAGGAAACUUCACCUUCCUCUGGUGACUCUAUGCAAUCUAACCUGCCGGCUUUCAAGACCGCACCUGGGUAAUGAUGAUCAUCUUAUGUUGUGCUUAUCUUUACUCAUGCUUUUGUACUAACCUUUUGUCCUUUCAGUGCUCAAGCAAAGCUCAGCAAGAGAGCGAAAAAGAAUAAACCGGUCGAAGAACCGGUCCUGACUGAACCGGAGGCUUCUGCUCAAGAGCCGCCAUCUGCCUCAGCUCCUGAAGCCACCGCUCCAACUGACGAGCCAGUCAUAGAGGCUUCUACUAACCCGGAGAUCCCCAGCCCAGCUCAGCCGGCCGAUGACCCGGACAUUGUAAUCACCCGGACAGAAUUUGUCGAGCCGGGGAGACCCACUGUGCUGGCCAAAUGCUCUGCCAAAGAAGAACUGCUGGAGCGCCGCAGGGCCAGACUGGAGAUUACCGACUAUGCGAAUUUGAGCAUUGGAGACAUUGUUUCGGGUUACAUUGGUCAAGUGCACAACAACCGGGACCUGGAGAUUGACAUGGUGAAGCAGAUACAGCAAAAAUUUGAGGUACAACUCUCUUGCUUACUCCAUAGUUAUCCUUACCAUGCUAGCCCCCAAGUCUAUUACUUAUGAUAGAAUAGGUUGUAGACUUAACUUCCGGCUUACCUUCAUGAACCGGCAAUUAUAAAUAAAAUCGUUCGGCACACAUUAGCCCCCAAGUGCCAACUGUCUUUGCUUUGCAAAGUGCUUGGGACUUCAAUGUUGCAUGAUAAUUAUUCACACUGUAACCCGGAAUUUGUACAGGCUGUCUGCAAGAAAUUUGAAUCUGAAAUCUCUGAGCUGAAGAAUCGCCUGAAGACUCAGGAAACUGAGACCCGGAAGGCCAAUGCCAAAUUCGAGUUCAGUGUUGCUGCACAGGAAAAGCUGAAGAAGAAAUUUGAAACAGAAAGAAAGACUUGGGCUGAGGAGAGAACUGCCUUGCUGAGCCGGGCCGAAAAAGCAGAGGCUGCUCUAACUGAGAGAACCGCCGAACUCUCCGGCUUAAAACGCCAUGUGUCGCAGAUGGUCUCCGCAAUCUUCGGUAAGUCAUUCUGCAAGCUUUUAACAAGUUUUCAUUCUUUAUGUCUCAUAAGUCACACUAUCGCAAUCGGCUUACCUGACUUUGUUAAACAGGUCCCAGAAGCUCCAACCUUAAUCAGAAUGUUCUGACCAAGCUGAAGGCCGUGUACACCUUGGUGGAGCAACUCUAUACCGGGUCACAGCGUGCGUUAGCCGUUGUGGCUCUGUCCAACGAGGUUCCGACUCACCUGGCGGAUGUACUCAGGCGGCUUGCUGUUCUUCCUCAGCGCUUCCAAGAGCUAAGAUGGGCCUCUGCAAGAGCCAGAGCUAUAGCUACACUGAGCCGGGCCAAGGCUUUUCUCCCGGAGCUAGACCCAGCCGACAUCGCUCUUGGAUACCCCAGCCUGAAGGAAGACGGGACCCCCUUCGACCAGAAAGACUUCGCCGUCUGUGUGAAAAGCGUGCGCCCAGUGGCUACCAUGACCGGGAACGACACAAAUCUUACCAAGUAUCAGCCGGGUUAUGACACGGAGAAUCAGAGGAUCCCAACUCCACGCUAUGAAGCAAUCAGCCUGAUUCCGCCGACUCGUAAACACACCUUUGCCCCAGAAGUUGACCCAGCCGGGUUAAUUGAUGAUGAGGCUCAAUUUGAAGCUUUGAGCGGCAUUGACUGGAAAUCAUCAACCUUCCAGGUCAUGGGAACAGCCGGAGAAGCGGAGAGGGAUGAGCCGGAAGCUUCGACCCAACAAGCUCCUUGAUCUGUUAGGCGGCUUACAGACAUGCCUUAAAAACAAUGCCUCAUCUUUUGGACUCUGGGAGUCUUGUAAUAGAAUAGGACAAACACUUAACUUUGUCGUGCCAUCGUGCACGUGUUGAAUGCUUAACUCCAUUGAAGCUGCUUCUUUAUAUUCCUCCGGGUUACAAUUGAUCAUUUAUUUUCCUUAUGCUUGAAGAACUGUCUUUAAUUGCUCUGCAUAGAAAAAUAAAUCACAAAUCUCUAGGCGGCUUACCACAUGGAGAGUCACAUAUCUUACCCUUAAACCGGAACAUAACCAAGGUCAUAAAAGACCGGCUCUCAACCAUAUCUUCAGGAUAACCACAAUAGCCUACCUGCAAGCCGUCAAGUACACUUCCGGUUUAUGUAACCCAAAUAACGAGGUUGAGAACUCAAGCCCCGGCUCAACAUUGUUAACCUAGUUUAAGCCGGCAGAGUAAGAACCGCCCUUGCACACUGUUGAUAUGAUCAAAAGAACUUAUUGCAAAAACAAAAAGAUCAAAACUUAGGGGCUUCCGGUUCGAAUACGACCAGAGAACCGUCCCAAAGGGGUUAAGCUAAGAUUCGAAUGCGAUCAUAUAGCCCCCAGUGGGUUUGGCGUUGCCAAUCAAGAGGGUACCGACAGCUAUGUUCUCUUCGGUUCGAAUACGACCUAUGUUUGAACAGGAAGCCCCCAAAUGAUCUUAAGAGUUGUUUAACGACGCUGAUUCGAAUACGAUCCACGUCGGUUCCCAAAGGGGGUUGAGCUAUGAUUCAAAUAUGAUCAAGAAAAACUCCCCAAUGAGCUUGGCAGUUUGCCAAUCAAGUGGGUAUCGACAGCUAUGUUCUCUUUGGUUCGAAUACGACCUAUGUUUGAACAGGAAGCCCCCACGUGAUCAUAUUGUUUAACGGCUAGAUUCGAAUAUGAUCAUAAGCCGGAUCCACCUCCAUGUAAUGUUGUAAUGGAAACAACACUUUUACCCUUGGAGGAGAAAAGGACAGAGGUCCUGCUUUAUUAUUUAUCAUAAUAGAUACAUGGCUAUAGAAAUAUGUACAUUAUGAGAGCCGGUGGCUCAAGUGUAAUAAGGUCGAAGCUGAGCUAUAUUCCAUGGGCGACGGGUCUCUUCCUCCGACUUACGUGACUCCUUGUGCUCCCGAACAUCGAUAAGGUAGUAUGAACCGUUGUGCAAGUCCUUGCUGACCACAAAGGGCCCUUCCCAAGGCGGGGAUAACUUGUGUGAAUAUGUUUGAUCUUGGAUAAGCCGGAGGACCAGAUCACCUUCCUGGAAGACCCGGGACUUAACCCGGCGGCUGUGAUAACGGCGCAGGUCUUGUUGGUAAAUCGCUGAGCGAGCUGCUGCCACAUCACGCUGUUCGUCCAACAAGUCAAGAGCAUCUUGGCGCGCCCGCUCAUUAUCCGCCUCAACAUAAGCCGCCACUCGAGGCGAGUCAUGACGGAUGUCGCUAGGGAGGGCUGCUUCCUCUCCAUAAACCAUGAAGAAAGGCGUGUAACCCGUAGAUCUGUUAGGAGUAGUAUUGAUGCUCCAUAACACGGAGGGUAACUCCUCCACCCAACAACCCGACGUCCGUUGCAAAGGGACCAAAAGCCGGGGCUUGAUGCCCUUCAAAAUCUCCUGAUUAGCUCUCUCAGCUUGACCAUUGGAUUGAGGGUGAGCCACUGAUGAAACAUCAAGUCGAAUAUGCUCUCGCUGACAAAACUCCUCCAUGGCGCCCUUAGACAGAUUGGUACCAUUGUCAGUUAUAAUGCUGUGUGGAAAACCAAAGCGAAAUAUCACCCUUUUCACGAACUGAACUGUUGUGGCCGCGUCACACUUGCUAACUGGCUCUGCCUCAACCCACUUGUGAACUUGUCAACUGCCACCAAGAGGUGGGUCUUCUUAUCCUUGGACCUUUUAAAAGGCCCAACCAUAUCAAGCCCCCAGACCGCAAAUGGCCAAGUAAUUGGGAUCAUCCUCAGCUCCUGAGCCGGCACAUGAGCCCGUCGCGAGAACCUCUGACAACCAUCACAUUUACUGACCAAGUCUUCCGCAUCAGCAUGAGCCGUCAGCCAAUAAAAACCAUGACGAAAGGCUUUGGCCACAAGGGAUUUUGAGCCGGCAUGAUGGCCACAAUCCCCUUCAUGAAUCUCUCGUAAAAUUUCUUGACCCUCCUCAGGGGAAACAAAACGCUGGAAAGUUCCAGUAACACUGCGAUGAUGCAGCUCGCCAUUGAUAAUGACCAUUGACUUAGACCGCCGGGUUAUUUGUCUGGCCAAAGUUUCAUCCUCAGGCAAAUCUCCCCGGGUCAUGUAAGCCAAGUAUGGUACUGUCCAGUCUGGGGUGAUGUGGAGAGCCGCCACCAACUGUGCCUCCGGGUCAGGAACAGCCAAGUCCUCCUCUGUAGGCAACUUAACAGAAGGGUUAUGCAAGAUGUCCAAGAAAGUAUUAGGCGGCACCGGCUUUCGCUGAGAGCCCAGCCGGCUUAAUGCAUCAGCCGCCUCGUUCUUCCUGCGAUCGAUGUGCUCUACUUGGUAACCCUGAAAGUGUCCAACAAUGGCAUCAACUUCACGGCGAUAAGCCGCCAUGAGAGGGUCCUUGGAAUCCCACUUGCCUGACACUUGUUGGGCCACUAAAUCUGAGUCGCCAAAGCACCUCACCCAGCUCAAACUCAUCUCCUUAGCCAUCCGAAGACCAUGGAGCAAGGCCUCGUACUCAGCUGCAUUGUUAGUACAGGGAAACAUCAACCGUAGCACAUAGCAAAACUUGUCACCUCGAGGGGAAGCUAAUACAACUCCAGCCCCCGAGCCUUCCAAUUGCCUAGACCCGUCGAAGUGAAUAGUCCAGUAUGUAUUAUCCGGUUUCUCUUCAGGUACCUGCAGCUCCGUCCAGUCGUUGAUGAAGUCCACCAAUGCUUGAGAUUUGACAGUAGUGCGUGGCACAUAUUUCAGACCAUGAGGCCCAAGCUCUAUAGCCCACUUAGCCACUCUCCCUGUAGCUUCUCUGUUUUGGAUGAUAUCUCCUAGAGGAGCAUAACUAACCACAGUGAUAGGGUGACCCUAGAAAUAAUGCUUAAGCUUCCGGCUUGCCAUGAACACCCCGUAAACAAGCUUCUGCCAAUGUGGAUACCGUUGUUUGGACUCAAUGAGCACUUCACUGACAUAGUAAACUGGCCGCUGAACCGGAUACUCCUUACCCACUUCCUUGUGCUCCACCACCACAGUCACACUGACGGCUCGUGUGUUAGCAGCGACAUACAACAAUAAGGGCUCCUUGUCAACCGGAGCAGCAAGGACUGGGGGCUCAGCCAGCUGUCUCUUCAAAUCCUCAAAGGCAGCAUUAGCAGCAUCGUUCCAGACAAAGUUAUCUGUUUUCUUCAUCAGUUGGUACAGUGGCAUGGCCUUUUCACCCAAGCGGCUUAUAAACCGGCUUAGAGCAGCGAUGCGACCCGCCAGACGCUGGACGUCGUUUAUACACGCCGGCUUAGCCAGAGAGGUGAUUGCCUUGAUCUUUUCCAGGUUAGCCUCAAUGCCUCUGUGAGAAACCAGAAAACCUAAGAGCUUGCCUGCAGGAACACAAAAAACACACUUGGCCGGGUUAAGCAUCAUCUUGUAGACCCGGAGAUUAUCAAAGGUUUCUCUCAGAUCAUCUAUCAAGGUCUCCUUCUCCCUGGAUUUAACCAUGAUAUCAUCCACAUAAGCAUGAACAUUGCGCCCAAUCUGGUUAUGAAGACAAUUCUGCACGCAACGCUGGUAAGUCGCCUGUGCACUCUUGGGCCCAAAAGGCAUAGAUACAUAACAGAAGGCUCCAAAAGGAGUGAUGAAUGAUGUCUUCUCCUGGUCCUUAACUGCCAUUUUAAUCUGAUGAUAUCCAGAAUAAGCAUCCAAAAAACUUAAGCGCUCACAACCCGCCGUAGCAUCAAUAAUCUGAUCAAUACGGGGGAGAGCAAAAGGAUCAGCCGGACAGGCCUUGUUUAAAUCCGUGUAGUCCACACACAUCCGCCAGGUGCCGUUCUUCUUAAGCACGAGCACCAGGUUAGCUAACCAUUCUGGAUGAAAAACUUCAACGAUAAACCCGGCCGCCAAGAGCCGGGCUACCUCCUCACCAAUGGCUUUUCGCCUCUCCUCAUUAAACCGCCGGAGGAAUUGCCUGACCGGCUUAAACUUCGAAUCAAUAUUAAGAGUGUGCUCAGCGAGUUCUCUAGGUACACCCGGCAUGUCAGAAGGUUUCCAUGCAAAGAUGUCCUUGUUCUCACGGAUGAACUCGAUAAGCGCGCCUUCCUAUUUCGGAUCCAGAUUGGCACUGAUGAUGAACUGCUGAGAUGAGUCACCUGGAACGAAGUCAACAAGUUUAGUCUCGUCCGCCGACUUGAACUUCGUUGCCGGCUCAUGCUCCGUGGUCGGCUUUUUCAAAGAUGUCAUAUCUGCCGGGUCAACAUUGUCCUUGUAAAACUUCAACUCCUCUGUUGCACAAACAGAUUCUGCAUAAGCCGCGUCACCUUCCUCAUACUCCAAGGCUAUCUUUCGGCUGCCAUGAACCGUAAUGGUCCCAUUGUGACCCGGCAUCUUGAGCUACAAAUACACGUAACACGGCCGUGCCAUGAACUUGGCGUAAGCCAGCCGCCCAAAUAUAGCAUGAUACGGACUUCUUAUCUUAACCACCUCAAAGGUUAAUUUUUCCGCCCUGUAGUUGUACUCAUCUCCAAAAGCCACUUCCAGCUCGAUCUUACCAACUGGAUAUGCCGACUUACCAGGCACCACACCAUGGAAAACAGUAUUGGACUGGCUGAGGUUCUUAUUAAUCAACCCAUACGACGGAAGGUCUCGUAAUAGAGGAUGUUGAUGCAGCUGCCUCCGUCCAUGAGCACUUUAGUGAACUUAUAUCCCCCCACCUGAGGUGCCACCACCAGGGCCAGGUGACCCGGAUUAUCAACCCGGGGUGGGUGAUCUUCCCUACUCCACACAAUAGGCUGCUCAGACCAUCUUAAAUAGCAUGGAACCGCCGGCUCAACAGCAUUCACAGCCCUUUUAUGAAGCUUUUGAUCUCGCUUGCACAGACUGGUGGUAAACACAUGAUACUGUCCACCAUUGAGCUGCUUCGGAUUGGUCUGGUAUCCCCCUGCUGCUGUUGAUGACCCUGGCCGGACUGCUGAUUAAAGCCCCCUUGAACAUUUUGAGGAUUGGAAUUUGAGCCGCCGCCCGGGCCAUGAAAGCCGCCGCCGCCCGAGCCGCCGCCCGAGCCAUUGUUGCCAUUAAAGGCAUUGGAAUUCUUAAAGGCCUUCAUGAUUGCGCAAUCUAUCCAUAGAUAAGUAGCCGGCUUCUCCCUAGAGCCAUGCCUUGGACAAGGCUCAUUCAACAACUGCUCAAGCGUCGGGCCUGACCCGCCGGCUCGGGGAGGUGGCCUCCCUUUACGUCGCUGGUUGUUACCCUAUGAGCUGGCGUUGGCCACAAACUCUAUGCUGCCAUCAGCCUUACGCUUGCUACCUCCUUGGUUCGCCGGGUUAUGCUGAGGACCCUUGCCAUUACCGUUCUUCUUUCCCUUCCCUGUCCUUUCAUCAUCUCACGCGGGGUCCUUGGUACUAUCAGAGUCGGCAUACUUGACGAGAGCCGCCAUCAGCGUACCCAUAUCAUUGCAAUCGCGCUUGAGCCGCCCGAGUUUCAUUUUCAGGGGCAGGAAACGACAAUUCUGCUCCAACAUUAAGACUGCAGAGCCGGCAUCCAUCUUAUCAGAUGAAUGUAUUAUCUCUUUGACCCGACGAACCCAAUGGGUUGUAGACUCACCCUCCUGCUGUUUACAGUUAGUCAAAUCCACAAUUGACAUAGACUGCCUACAGGUAUCUUUGAAGUUUUGUAUGAACCGGGCUUUCAGCUCAGCCCAAGACCCGAUAGAAUUCGGUGGCAGCCCUUUCAACCAAGUGCGGGCAGUCCCAUCUAACAUCAUGGUGAAAUACUUGGCCAUUGCCGCUUCACUGACCUCUAGCAACUCCAUAGCCAUCUCGUAACUCUCGAUCCAUGCUCCGGGUUGCAAAUCAGUUGUGUGUAAUUAGGCACUUUCCUUGGCCCCUUGAAAUCCUUGGGCAGACGUUCGUUACGGAGAGCCGGCACCAGACAAGGAACACCUACAGUCCUCGUAGGUAUACCCACGUCGAUGGAGGCCGUCGGAUAAGCCGGGGGUAGCUGGUAAGCCGUCAACUGAGGCACCUGCUCCGCCUCUUGCCGUGCUUUGUCUUGGUCUACCGCGUGAAAGGCUCCGUUAUGAGCCGGGCCGUGGCCAGGAGGCAAGUCAUGGCGUCGGACAUUACUUGAACCGGUUGCUGAGACCAUGUGUCUGCUAUAACUCGGGCUCCGGCCUGGUCGGGGGGUUGAAUGAAUCCUGUCCCGGCUAUAAGAAUAUGCCUCUUGCUGCGCUAGAGCCGUCUGAAGGAGUUCUCUGACCUGGCGGGUUUCAACCGCCGUUGGAGAGUCACCAUCGAUUGGGAGAGCCGCCAGCCGCGCCGCCGCGGCGACCAUGUUUUCCAACGGGUUGGCAUAAUGACCCGGUGGUAUUGGUACAUACUGAGGCGGGGCAGGGUUCACCCGGGGAGGUCCCAUCACUUGGGGCUGAAUUGGCGUCCCAGCCCCGGGCACUAUGAUCUCUGGCGGGUUACUAGACCCUGCACCCGGCGUGUUGAAGAGGUUUCGAGGAUCGUAAACCGGAGGGAGUCGAGAUUGGGCCUUUUGAUGCCUCCUUCUCAUGGCCUCAUUGGACGCGUUUUGAUCCAUCGUGAGCCGGAAGGACUGUGCCUGAAUCAGCUGAGUCUGGGCGUCGAGAGCCGCCCUCUCUGUAGCCAUCCUGAUCCCCUCCGCCGCCAGAUCCUCCUUGGCUUUUGCUAGAUCCAACUUUAAUUGUGCCACCUCCGCGUCAUGCUGAACUUGAUCCGCCAGGGCAACCAUAGCGGUCAACAGGACCGUCAGCUUGUUAGUGAGAUCCAUCAGCACCCGAGCCGGCGAGGGCACAGGGCUUCCUGACCCGGCGGCGGGGUUUUGAACAGGUUGUGCGCCGGCCAUGAAGAUUCCAACCCGGCUCGGCGGCUCAAAGGGGUCCGGAAUGCUGUCGCCAUCGGAACAACCCCUGAGCCGGCCAUCUUGAAGUUGAUACAACGAGUUUGACUCAUCCGUAGAUGACUCGCUGUCAGAGCCGGCGGCCGUCUCAUCACCAGAUCCGGAUCCUUCAGAGAGUCCUGCAUGGACACAUCCCACGAAAGCAUGCUUCAAGGCAGGUAGAGCCCGGGCGGGUCGUGCACGCUGAGCCGUCUCGAUGAGAUCGGUGCAGAGGUCCGACUCAGGGCUCGUCUCACCAAUCUUGCCAAUGAAGACGUGGAUUCCGCCGAAGGGGACCCGGUACCCGUACUCGAUUGAGCCGGCGUCGGGGCCCCAGUUUGCAUCGUCGAUGUAGAGCUUGCCGCGACGACUCUUGGUCAUCCGGCCCACAGCAUAUCCCUUGAGCCCUUCGAAGCUGCCCUUCAAGAACUGAAGUCCACCGUGCGUCAGCCCCACGGUGGGCGCCAACUGUCGUGGAAUUGUCACGGCAGAUGUCCUCGUGCAAGGACUUAGUCGUGGAGCCAUCGCAACUAGGAAGCUUAAAGGGGUUAAGCGGGACAAGGAACACGAGGGUUAUGCUGGUUCGGCCUCUUACGGUUAAGGUAAAAGCCUACGUCCAGUUGAGGUGGUAUUGAUUAAGGUUUCGAUGACCAGGAGCUAAAACGUCCUGCGUGGUUAUCGAUUUGGUCUACUCGUCCCUAAACCGCCGCCGGGUCGUCCCUUUAUAUAGAGAGGUUGACGCCCAGCGGUUCUCAGAGUCCCGGCCAGCUCAUAACAGUGUCCGGCUCGGACUCUUAACUAUUCUUGCCUUACACUACAAGUUUUGCCAUAACGGCGGUUUAUCACUACGGGCCUUAAGCCAUCUCCGGGUCUUAAGCCCAUCUUUGAUCCGCCGUCUCCAAGUUCGGUACUAGGCUUCACGUGAUGACCAUUAUGACGUAACCCGGCCCCUCCUGGGCGGGUGACCCAAUGGUUAUAUCCUCAACAGAAUGGGCCAAGUCAAUCACAUCAUUCUCCUAAUGAUGUGAUCCCGUUAAUCAAAUGACAACUCAUGUCUAUGGUUAGGAAACUUAACCAUCUUUGAUUAACAAGCUAGUCAAGUAGAGGCACACUAGUGACACUAUGUUUGUCUAUGUAUUCACACAUGUAUUAUGUUUCCGGUUAGUACAAUUCUAGCAUGGAUAAUAAACAUUUAUCAUGAAAUAAGGAAAUAAAUAAUAACUUUAUUAUUGCCUCUAGGGCAUAUUUCCUUCAGUCUCCCACUUGCACUAGAGUCAAUAAUCUAGUUCACAUCGCCAUGUGAUUUAACACCAAUAGUUCACAUCACCAUGUGAUUAACACUCAUAGUACACAUCGUCAUGUGACCAACACCCAAAGGGUUUACUAGAGUCAAUAAUCUAGUUCACAUCGCUAUGUGAUUAACACCCAAAGAGUACUAAGGUGUGAUCAUGUUUUGCUUGUGAGAGAAGUUUAGUCAACGGGUCUGCCACAUUCAGAUCCGUAUGUAUUUUGCAAAUUUCUAUGUCAACAAUGCUCUUCAUGGAGCUACUCUAGCUAAUUGCUCCCACUUUCAAUAUGUAUCCAGAUUGAGACUUAGAGUCAUCUGGAUCAGUGUCAAAAUUUGCAUCGACGUAGCCCUUUACGACAAACCUUUUUGUCACCUCCAUAAUUGAGAAACAUAUCCUUAUUCCACUAAGGAUAAUUUUGACCGCUGUCCAGUGAUCUACUCCUAGAUCACUAUUGUACUCCCUUGCCAAAAUCAGUGUAGGGUAUACAAUAGAUCUGGUACACUGCAUGGCAUACUUUAUAGAACCUAUGGCCAAGGCAUAGGGAAUGACUUUCAUUCUCUUUCUAUCUUCUGCCGUGGUCGGGCUUUGAGUCUUACUCAAUUUCACACCUUGUAACACAGGCAAUAACUCUUUCUUUGACUGUUCCAUUUUGAACUACUUCAAAAUCUUGUCAAGGUAUGUACUCAUUGAAAAAACUUAUCAAGCGUCUUGAUCUAUCUCUAUAGAUCUUGAUGCUCAAUAUGUAAGCAGCUUCUCCGAGGUCUUUCUUUGAAAAACUCCUUUCAAACACUCCUUUAUGCUUUGCAGAAUAAUUCUACAUUAUUUUCGAUCAACAAUAUGUCAUUCACAUAUACUUAUCAGAAAUGCUGUAGUACUCCCACUCACUUUCUUGUAAAUACAGGCUUCACCGCAAGUCCGUAUAAAACUAUAUGCGUUGAUCAUCUUAUCAAAGCGUAUAUUCCAACUACGAGAUGCUUGCACCAGUCCAUAAAAGGAUCACUGGAGCUUGCAUAUUUUGUUAGCACCUUUAGGAUUGACAAAAACCUUCUGGUUGCAUCAUAUACAACUCUUCUUUAAUAAAUCCAUUAAGGAUUGCAGUUUUGUUAUCCAUUUGCCAGAUUUCAUAAAAUGCGGCAAUUGCUAACAUGAUUCGGACAGACUUUAAGCAUCGAUACGAGUGAGAAAAUCUCAUCGUAGUCAACACCUUGAACUUGUCGAAAACCUUUUGCGACAAUUCUAGCUUUGUAGAUAGUAACACUACUAUCCGCGUCCGUCUUCCUCUUGAAGAUCCAUUUAAUCUCAAUGGCUCGCCGAUCAUUGGGCAAGUCAAUCAAAGUCCAUACUUUGUUCUCAUACAUGGAUCCCAUCUCAGAUUUCAUGGCCUCAAGCCAUUUUGCGGAAUCUAGGCUCAUCAUCGCUUCCUCAUAGUUCGUAGGUUCGUCAUGGCCAAGUAACAUGACCUCCAGAACAGGAUUACCGUACCACUCUGGUGCAGAACUCACUCUGGUUGACCUAUGAGGUUCGGUAGUAACUUGAUUUGAACUUACAUGAUCAUUAUCAUUAGCUUCCUCACUAAUUGGUGUAGGAGUCGCAGGAACAAAUUUCUGUGAUGAACUACUUUCCAAUAAGGGAGCAGGUACAGUUACCUCAACAAGUUCUACUUUCCUCCCACUCACUUCUUUCGAGAGAAACUCCUUCUCUAGAAAGGAUCUAUUCUUAGCAACGAAUGUAUUGCCUUCGGAUCUGUGAUAGAAGGUGUACCCAACUGUCUCCUUUGGGUAUCCUAUGAAGACACAUUUCUCCGAUUUGGGUUUGAGCUUUAUCAGGAUGAAACUUUUUCACAUAAGCAUCGCAACCCCAAAUUUUAAGAAACAAAAACUUUGGUUUCUUGCCAAACCACAGUUCAUACGGUGUCGUCUCAACAUAUUUAGAUGGUGCCCCUACUAACAUGAAUGCAGCUGUCUCUAAUGCAUAACCCCAAAACGAUAGUGGUAAAUCGGUAAGAAACAUCAUAGAUUGUACUAUAUUCAAUAAAGUACGGUUAUGACGUUCAGACACACCAUUAUGCUGUGGUGUUCCAGGUGGCAUGAGUUUGUGAAACUAUUCCACAUUGUUUUAAUUGAAGGCCAAACUCGUAACUCAAAUAUUUUCCUCCACGAUCAGAUCGUAGAAACUUUAUUUUCCUGUUACGAUGAUUUUCUACUUCACUCUGAAAUUAUAUGAACUUUUCAAAUGUUUCAGACUUAUGUUUCAUCAAGUAGAUAUACCCAUAUCUGCUCAAAUCAUCUGUGAAGGUCAGAAAAUAAUGAUACCCGCCGCGAGCCUCAACACUCAUCGGAUCGCAUACAUCAGUAUGUAUUAUUUCCAAUAGGUCAGUUGCUCGCUGCAUUGUUCCGGAGAACGGAGUCUUAGUCAUCUUGCCCAUAAGGCAUGGUUCGCGAGCAUCAAGUGAUUCAUAAUCAAGUGAUUCCAAAAUCCCAUCAGCAUGGAGUUUCUUCAUGCGCUUUACUCCAAUAUGACUUAAACGGCAGUGCCACAAAUAAGUUACACUAUCAUUAUUAACUUUGCAUCUUUUGGCUUCAAUAUUAUGAAUAUGUGUAUCACUACGAUAAAGAUCCAACAAACCAUUUUCAUUGGGUGUAUGACCAUAGAAGGUUUUAUUCAUGUAAACAGAACAACAAUUAUUCUCUAACUUAAAUGAAUAACCAUGUUGCAAUAAACAUGAUCAAAUCAUAUUCAUGCUCAACGCAAACACCAAAUAACACUUAUUUAGGUUCAACACUAAUCUCGAAAGUACAGGGAGUGUGCGAUGAUGAUCAUAUCAAUCUUGGAACUACUUCCAACACACAUCGUCACCUCGCCCUUAACUAGUUUCUGUUCAUUCUGCAAUUCCCGUUUCGAGUUACUACCCUUAGCAACUGAACCAGUAUCAAAUACCGAGGGUUGCUACGAACACUAGUAAAAUACACAUCAAUAAUGUAUAUCAAAUAUAGCUUGUUCACUUUGUCAUCCUUCUUGUCCGCCAAAUACUUGGGGUGGUUUUGCUUCUAGUGACCAGUCCCUUUGCAGUAGAACCACUUAGUCUCAGGCUUAGGUCCGGACUUGGGCUUCUUCACUUGAGCAGCAACUUGCUUGCCGUUCUUCUUGAAGUUCCCCUUCUUCCCUUUGUCCUUUUUCUCUUGAAACUAGUGGUCUUGUCAACCAUCAACACUUGAUGUUUUUUCAUGAUUUCUACCUUCGCCGAUUUUAGCAUCGCGAAGAGCUUGGGAAUUGUUUUCGUCAUCCCUUGCAUAUUAUAGUUCAUCACAAAGUUCUACUAACUUGGUGAUGGUGACUAGAGAAUUUUGUCAAUCACUAUUUUAUCUGGAAGAUUAACUCCCACUUGAUUCAAGCGAUUGUAGUACCCAGGCAAUCUGAGCACAUGCUCACUGCUUGAGCUAUUCUCCUCCAUCUUUUAGCUAUAGAACUUGUUGGAGACUUCAUAUCUCUCAACUCGGGUAUUUGCUUGAAAUAUUAACUUCAACUCCUGGAACAUCUCAUAUGGUCCAUGACGUUCAAAACGUCUUUGAAGUCCCGAUUCUAAGCCGUUUAAGCAUGGUGCACUAAACUAUCAAAUAGUCAUCAUAUUGAGCUAGCCAAACGUUCAUAACGUCUGCAUCUGCUCCUGCAAUAGGUCUAUCACCUAGCGGUGCAUCAAGGACAUAAUUCUUCUGUGCAGCAAUGAGGAUAAUCCUCAGAUCACGGAUCCAAUCCGCAUCAUUGCUACUAACAUCUUUCAACUCAGUUUUCUCUAGGAACAUAUCAAAAUAAAGCAGGGGAGCUAAACGCGAGCUAUUGAUCUACAACAUAGAUAUGCUAAUACUACCAGGACUAAGUUUAUGAUAAAUUAAAGUUCAAUUAAUCAUAUUACUUAAGAACUCCCACUUAGAUAGACAUCCCUGUAAUCCUCUAAGUGAUCACGUGAUCCAAAUCAACUAAACCAUGUCCGAUCAUCACGUGAGAUGGAGUAGUUUCAGUGUUCCGAGGCCAUAUCUGUUAUAUGCUAGGCUCGUCAAGCUUAACCUGAGUAUUCCGCGUGUGCAACUGUUUUGCACCUGUUGUAUUUGAACGUAGAGCCUAUCACACCCGAUCAUCACGUGGUGUCUCAGCACGAAGAACUUUCGCAACGGUGCAUACUCAGGGAGAACACUUAUACUUUGAUAAUUUAGUGAGAGAUCAUCUUAUAAUGCUACCGUCAAUCAAAGCAAGAUAAGAUGCAUAAAAGAUAAACAUCACAUGCAAUCAAUAUAAGUGAUAUGAUAUGGCCAUCAUCAUCUUGUGCUUGUGAUCUCCAUCUCCGAAGCACCGUCAUGAUCACCAUCGUCACCGGCGCGACACCUUGAUCUCCAUCGUAGCAUCGUUUUUGUCUCGCCAAUCUUAUGCUUCUACGACUAUCGCUACCGCUUAGUGAUAAAGUAAAGCAUUACAGGGUAAUUGCAUUGCAUACAAUAAAGCGACAACCAUAUGUCUCCUGCCAGUUGUGAUAACUCGGUUACAAAACAUGAUCAUCUCAUACAAUAAAAUUUAGCAUUAUGCCUUGACCAUAUCACAUCACAACAUGCCCUGCAAAAACAAGUUAGACGUCCUCUACUUUGUUGUUGCAAAUUUUACGUGGCUGCUACCGGCUUAGCAAGAACCGUUCUUACCUAUGCAUCAAAACCACAACGAUAGUUUGUCAAGUUGGUGCUGUUUUAACCUUCGCAAGGACCGGGCGUAGCCACACUCGGCUCAACUAAAGUUGGAGAAACUGACACCCGCCAGCCACCUGGGUGCAAAGCACGUCGGUAGAACCAGUCUCGCGUAAGCGUACGCGUAAUGUCGGUCCGGGCCGCUUCAUCCAACAAUACCGCCGAACCAAAAUAUGACAUGCUGGUAAGCAGUAUGACUUAUAUCGCCCACAAAUCACUUGUGUUCUAGUAGUGCAUAUGACAUCUACCCAUAAAACCAGGCUCUGAUGCCACUGUUGGGGAACAUAGUAAUUUCAAAAAAAAAUCCUACGCACACGCAAGAUCAUGGUGAUACAUAGCAAUGAGAGGGGAGAGUGUUGUCCACGUACCCUCGUAGACCGAAAGCAAAAGCGUUAGCACAACGUGGUUGAUGUAGUCGUACGUCUUCACGAUCUGACCGAUCAAGUACCGAACGCACGGCACCUCCGAGUUCAGCACACAUUCAGCCCGAUGACGUCCCUCGAACUCCGAAACAGCCGAGUGUUGAGGGAGAGUUUCGUCAGCAUGACGGCGUGGUGACGAUGAUGAUGUUCUACCGACGCAGGGCUUCGCCUAAGCACCGCUACAGUAUUAUCAAGGUGGACUAUGGUGGAGGGGGGCACCGCACAUGGCUAAAAGAUCAAGAGAUCAGUUGUUGUGUCUCUGGGGUGCCCCCUGCCCCUGUAUAUAAAGGAGCAAGGGGGGAGAGGCAGCCGGCCAGGAGAGGGGCGCGCCAGGAGGAGUCCUACUCCCACCGGGAGUAGGACUCCCUCCCUUCCUUGUUGGAUUAGGAGAAGGGGGAAAGAGGAGGAGGAGAAGAAGGAAAAGGGGGGCGCUGCCCCCCUCCUUGUCCAAUUCGAACUAGAGGGGGAGGGGGCACGUGGCCUGCCCUGGCCGCCCCUCCUCUUCCCCACUAAGGCCCAUGUAGGCCCAUUAAUCCCCCGGGGGGGUUCCGGUAACCCCCGGUACUCCGGUAUAUAUCCGAUAACCCCCGGAACCAUUCCGGUGUCCGAAUAUAGUCGUCCAAUAUAUAAAUCUUCAUGUCUCAACCAUUUCGAGACCCCUCGUCAUGUCCGUGAUCACAUCCGGGAUUCCGAACAACCUUUGGUACAUCAAAACAUAUAAACUCAUAAUAUAACUGUCAUCGAAACUUUAAGCGUGCGGACUCUACGGGUUCGAGAACUAUGUAGACAUAACCGAGACACGUUUCCGGUCAAUAACCAAUAGCGGAACCUAGAUGCUCAUAUUGGCUCCCACAUAUUCUACGAAGAUCUUUAUCGGUCAGACCGCAUAACAACAUACGUUGUUCCCUUUGUCAUCGGUAUGUUACUUGCCCGAGAUUCGAUCAUCAGUAUCUCAAUACCUAGUUCAAUCUCGUUACCGACAAGUCUCUUUACUCGUUCCGUAAUACAUCAUCCCACAACUAACUCAUUUGUUGCAAUACUUGCAAGGCUUAAGUGAUGUGCAUUACCGAGUGGGCCCAGAGAUACCUCUUCGACAAUCGGAGUGACAAAUACUAAUCUCGAAAUACGCCAACCCAACAAGUACCUUCGGAGACACCUGUAGAGCACCUUUAUAAUCACCCAUUUACGUUGUGACGUUUGGUAGCACACAAAGUGUUCCUCCGGUAAACGGGAGUUGCAUAAUCUCAUAGUCAUAGGAACAUGUAUAAGUCAUGAAGAAAGCAAUAGUAGAAUACUAAACGAUCGUGUGCUAAGCUAACGGAAUGGGUCAAGUCAAUCACAUCAUUCUUCUAAUGAUGUGAUCCCGUUAAUCAAAUGACAACUCAUGUCUAUGAUUAGGAAACUUAACCAUCUUUGAUUAACGAGCUAGUCAAGUAGAGGCACACUAGUGACACUAUGUUUGUCUAUGUAUUCACACAUGUAUUAUCUUUCCUGUUAAUACAAUUCUAGCAUGAAUAAUAAACAUUUAUCAUGAAAUAAGGAAAUAAAUAAUAACUUUAUUAUUGCCUCUAGGGCAUAUUUCCUUCACCUAUGUGCUCGGCCGUCAAUGUUUGACCGUAUGACCAUUGACUAUUGACAUUUUGGAAAACUAGGGUUGGUUUUUCUAAAACUGAUAAAUGUUCAUGAAUUCUCAAAAAAGUUCAAGACUCCAAAUCUUUCACGAAUUUGAAAAAGUUUCAACGAUUUGGAAAAUAUUUAUAGAUCGAGAAAAAGUUCACAAAUUUGAAAAUUCACCAACUAGAAAAAUGUUUAUGAAUAUGAGAAAUGUUAACAAAUUUGAAAAAGUACAUGAUUUUACAAAAGUUCACCAAUUUGAAAAAAUGGUCGCGGAUUUGAAAAAUGUUCAUGAAUUGAAAAAAAAUGUCCGAGACUUAAAAAAGUUCACAAAUUUGAAAAAGGUUAACCAGUUUUAAAAAAACAUGAAUUGAGAAAAAAAAUCAUUAAUUUGAAAAAUCUCGCUAAUUGAAAAGUGUUGACGAAUUUGAGAACUGUUUGUGGACUUAAAAAAUCAUAGAUAUGAAAAACUGCACAAAAUUAAAAAAUGUUCAUGGACUAAAAAAAGGUUCAUCAAUUUGAAAAAAAAUUAGGAAUUUUAAAAUGUUCAUGACUAUGAAGAAAAUGAAGAGCUUAAAAAAUGUUCAUUGGUUCAAAAAAUAAAUUCAUGAAUUUAAAAAUAGUAAAAGAAAAAGGGAAACGGACAAAAUUGGGUCAAAAAACCAAGAACAAAAAACCGCUUUGGAGGUGCUCGAAAAUCUAAAUAAGGGAAUAAAUGUGUGUUGUGUAGGGUUUUCAAUUCAAUGGGCGCUUAAGGCGUCGGAUAUGAGUUGGAACCCGAACCAAUGUAUGUUUAGGCCCGCCUUCUUCUGCUUUUUUACUAGUAUAAAUUGCUGGCCUUUUGGGAGGUUAUGCACCCGAUGGGAUGCUCCCGUGCUGACAUGUGUUACACACAAAGCGUCUCGCAUGCAAGGUUUCCUUACGAUUUAAUUAUUUUUCGGUCUUGUUUACAUGUGUACAGUGUAUUGUUUUUACUUGUAUUUUUAGAUGGUUUUAUUUUCACUUUCUAUAAGUUUUACUUUCUCGGUGCACUACGGAUGUAUUUACCCGUGCCUAUGUUUUUUUAAUGUAAUGUCUGUGUAAUUAUCUAUGCACAAUACUUCAAAACUUUACUGCUGCAAUGCGUGUACACUAACACACAAAAUUACACGUACAUACAAUGAAAAACGAAGUACACAUGUACUACCUCCAUCUUAUGACACUCAAAUGAAUGUCUUUUUUGAUGAAUGCGCAUGGUUGCGUAUCAUUUCGUUGAUAGGGUGGGGUGAAAGUACAGGGUGUAGCUCUAGGGGGCGUGCACGCUAUGGCGUCCCCUAGAGUGCUAGAAGAGCGGAGAGGAGGAUGCUCAGCCUCUCAUACAAGUUUCAUGUUACAAGAAUAAUGGUUUCAAGACUUUUAGCCCCUGCACGAGCCUCAUCUUUGAUUGUGCGGGCGAGAUCGUUGUUUGAUGGUUGGGUAUUGUCGAAGACGGCUGCGUUUCGGUGUUUCCAGAUGGACUAGACAGUGAGGGCGGUGAGGGAGUUGGUUCCCUUGCGGAUGUGUGCCGGAGCCGAGUUGUUGAUCGUAGACCACCAGGUGAAGAAGCCGUCGGUCGAGCUCGGGAUGGGCACUGGUAGUCGACACCAAGAUAGGAUCUCGUGCCAAGUUAUCCUGGAGAAGACGCACCAUGCAAGCAGGUGGUCUAGGGUUUCCGGUUCCUGGCAGCAAAGUUUUCAGAGGGGAUCAUGUGGCAGGCCGUGACGUGCGCGGCGCUCAGCAAUCCAACAACGGUCCAGGGAUGCAAGCCAGAGGAAGAAUUUGGCUUCGGUCGGUGCCCAUGAUUGCCAUACAAGGCGCCAGUGUGGUGCGGUGGUUGAUCCGCGGUACAGAGCCUGGUAAGCGGAGUGCACCGAAUACCUCCCAUUCUCGGUCCACUUCCCGGUGAUCCUGUCCGGCUCGGCGGAGAGCUCGGUGCGCUAGAUGCGCCGCCAGAGGUCCACAUACUCAACGGCGGCCGUGGCCCAAGGCUCCACUGAUAUCCCCGAUCCAGGUGGAGUUCUGCAGGGCGUCGCAGACAAGACGCUGGCGGUGUCGACGGCGCAUGAGGAGGGAAAGCAGGGACGGGGCGAUCUCGGCAACUGAGGAGCCAUCGAUCCAGUGAUCAAUCCAGAAGCGGCAGGCGGUUGAUGCACGAAAGAACCGACUUGUCUCCUUGUCGAUCUGCAGCUGGAGGUGGCUCCAUGGCUGCUCGGGGUCGAUGGCUUGGAGCCAGAGCCAGCGGCAGCGCAGGGCGAUGCCCGUGCGGUGGAGGUCGCACACCACGAGGCCACCAUACUUGAGUGGGCGGGAGAGCUUUGGCCGGCUGACGAAGCAGCACCCAUGCUUGGCAUCCUUGCGGCCAUGCCACAGGAAAUCGCGUACCACCGUUGUGAUCUUCUUGAGGAUCGUGGGGUUUAGAGCCAUGGCGAGGAGGAUGUGCACGGGCAUGGCGAUGAUCACAUGACGCACCAGGGCGAGCCGCUCGGGGUGCGAGAGGAGAGAAGCUUUCCAAGUGACAAGCUUCUUGGCUAGCCGGUCAACCAGAGGGAGUAGCGCGGAAGUAGGGCACUUGCGGAUAGUGAGUGGCAGACCAAGGUAAGGAAUAGGGAAACCUUCAACAGCGCAGGAAAGCUCCAUGGCAAUCGCGGUGUUGACCUCGACCGUGCAUCGGAUAGUAGAUGCGGAGCAUUUGGCGAAGUUGGUGCGCAGGCCGGAGGCGUCGCCAAAUACCGGCAGGAGCUCGCGGAUGGUGGCAAGCUCGACGGGAUCGGGGUGGCAGAAGAUGACGACAUCGUCAGCGGAUAGCGAGAUGCUAGACGCCGCAUGCCUCUCGGUGAGGCGCCGCAGUACGCCGGCAGACACGGCAUGCUGGAAGAGAGAGUUCAGAGUGUCGAUGACGAGGGCGAAGAGCAUGGGCGAGACCGAAUCGCCCUGGUGCAGCCCACACGCGUGAUCCACGGGAGGCCCUUGGUUGCCAUUGAUCAGGACUCGGGUAGAUGCAGUGGACGUGAGGAUGGAGACCCACUCGCACCAACAUCGACCAAAGCCAAGAUGUGCCAGGAUUUCAAGGAGGAAGGGCCAGGAGACCGUAUCGAAGGCCUUGGCAAUGUCGAGCUUGAGAAGAACUCUCGGUGCCUUGGAGUUGUGGAGGAAUCGGGCCGUCUGCUGAACCAGCAGGAAGUUAUCGUGCAUGCACCGGCUGGCGAUGAAUGCACUUUGGUUGGCGGAGAUGAUCUCCCCCAUCCUUGGGGCGAGACGCAACGAGAGCACCUUGGCGAACAAUUUGGCGAUGAUGUGGAUCAGACUAAUGGGCCAGUAGUUCGUGAUCGCGUGGGCAUCAGGUUUCUUGGGCAGUAGGAUGAGUAGGGCCUCGUUUAGCUUGUGAAAACCCUACCCGUUCAUGGAAUAGAGCUUGUCGAAGGCCUCAUAGAUGUCGGCCUUGAUGAUGGGCCAACAUGCCCGGAGGAAGUCGGAGGUGAAUCCGUCUGGCCCGGGCGCCUUGCCCAUUGGCAUUUUCUUGAUGGCCUCCCAAAUCUCCUACUCGGAGAAUGGAUUGUCGAGCUCGAGUAGGUCGAAGCUUCUGUGGUUGAUGGCGUCGAGGCUGAUGGAAUGAGUGCGCGCAGUAGCGGCCCCUAGGAUGGAUGGGAAGUGCUCGUACGCUGCCUGGGACAUGGCAGCCGCAUCAGUGAUGUCUUCGCCGCGCACCCGAAGACUGAGAAUGCACUUCUUUUGACUUCUGUGGGCGGCGUGCAUCUUAUGGAAUGCAGAGUUGGUGGCUUCCUCCUUCAGCCAUCAGAAACGAAUGCGUUCGCGCAUGAGGGAUCGCUCAAGUGAGGCCAGGCCCACGUAUUUCCGUUUAAGCUCGCGCCGGAGCCAUGCUUCAGCGGGGGAGAGAGGCCGAUGAUCUUGCGCCAUGUCAAGGCGGUAUAUGAGCUCACGAGCCGUGGCGAGCUGGGAAGAGAUGUGGCCAACGGAUCAGGAGCCCCAGCUCUGCAGUUNNNNNNNNNNNNNNNNNNNNNNNNNNNNNNNNNNNNNNNNNNNNNNNNNNNNNNNNNNNNNNNNNNNNNNNNNNNNNNNNNNNNNNNNNNNNNNNNNNNNNNNNNNNNNNNNNNNNNNNNNNNNNNNNNNNNNNNNNNNNNNNNNNNNNNNNNNNNNNNNNNNNNNNNNNNNNNNNNNNNNNNNNNNNNNNNNNNNNNNNNNNNNNNNNNNNNNNNNNNNNNNNNNNNNNNNNNNNNNNNNNNNNNNNNNNNNNNNNNNNNNNNNNNNNNNNNNNNNNNNNNNNNNNNNNNNNNNNNNNNNNNNNNNNNNNNNNNNNNNNNNNNNNNNNNNNNNNNNNNNNNNNNNNNNNNNNNNNNNNCCAUGCCGCGUCCACCGUUGACAUGAAACCAUCAAGUUUAGUCCAAAAGCGCUCGAAGUGGAAACGUUGUUUUCCCAAAGUGUGAAGAGAGCAAUCGACGACCAAGGGGCAAUGGUUGGAGGCCGCGGAGGCAAGGCGGCGCAGGAAGUGAUGGGGUUGGCCCGUCACCCAGGAGGUAGUGCACAGGACGCGGUCGUUGCGGACGAGGGUAGGGUUCUGCUGCUCAUUAGACCAUGUGUAGCGUCGCCCAUGCAUGUAUAUGUCGCGCAAGGCGUGGUCAGCGAUGAAGCACCAGAAACGAUUGGUCGUACGCUGGUUGAUACAGCCGUUGCUCGUGUCCGCGGAUGUGGUGACCAUGUUGAAAUCGCCCCCGAGCAGCUAGGGCCCGGCCAUGGUGGCGCGAAGCUCAUGGAGCUCGUUAAGGAAAGCCAUCUUGUCAUCGUCGGACUGAGGACCAUACACGCCGGUAAUCCACCAGGGAUGCUUGCCUGAUGGGGUGGAUACCACGGCGGAGACAUGGUAGGAGCCUAUGGAGGGGCUAGAGAGAUUGACGUGGUCGAUCCGCCACGCAAGAAGAAUGCCUCCCCUCGUCCCCGUGGCCGGUAAGCAGUAGAAGUCACUGAAGAGAGAGCCGAGCGUCUUGAGGGUGACCGCGGGCGUGACAAGAUCUAGCUUGGUCUCCGAGAGACACACGAUGGAAGGAGAGGCAUCAGUGAUGAUGGUCCGGAUUUAGCCCACGGACGUUCCAGAAUAUUAUCUUAAGAUUUUCAUCCAUAGGAAAGGGGGAUACACGGUGGGACAAGGCGGAGAGAAGAUCAGAUCUCGACCAGCCUCUGCUGGGCCGAAGCCGUGCCGUCAAACAGUCCGGGCGGGACGUGCCAUCCAUAAAAGUCUGCGAAGGCCUGAACUAACUCAGCAGCGAGAGGGUGGUCGAAGAGGCGCGUGUACUUCUCCAGCACAGCCGCGGAAACAGGCGCGUCGUCCUCGAGAAGACCCAGGCGGCAGAGAAGGACCCGUUUUGCUUUGGUCUCAGAGUCGAGGCCUUUGUCAUGCAUGGCGAUAUGUCCACUGCGCCUCGGUGUGAAGUUGGGAGGUAGCUCAACGCGCUUGCGGCGGGCGGGUGGCGUCGGCAAGAUGGGGUUCACUGUGGUCCGGAGGUCACCAAUGUAGUCCAGGACGUGCUGGGGCAUAGGGUAGGAGGCUUGCUCAUUAGACGUGGGCGCGGGAAGUUGCAUGGCCAAAGGGGGGUUGGCAACACUGGUGGCGACAUGCAGCGUGCAUGGGGUGGCGUCCAUCCCGCCUAGCUGGGCCGAGGGAUCGGGGGUGGGCCAGCCGCUAUCGAGGAGGCCCCCGCAGCCUGCCCCACCGGGUCAUCUGUAGUGGCUGGCGGGGAGGGAAGCGCUUGGCUAGACAUUGGCUAGAUGACCAGCUACUGGGGCGUGGGGGAGAUCACCUAGGGACCCGCAGGGGGGUCCUCCACGACCAGAUCAGAAGGCUCAGGAUCACUAAAAGGGCAAGCAUCAAAAUCUUUGGCAGGCAGGUCGGGGAUGCUGCCAAGCAGCGAUGGGCUGGAGGGGUGCAGAGAUGAAUCAGCUGCUGCGUUUUUGUCUGGGGGAGGCAUCAACAAUAGCAGCGGGGACAGGGAGCAUCUGGGGGAUCCAAGGCCGUCUCGACCAAUGGCUGGCCGCUACAAUCGGAGGUGGAUGGGCUGGUCAGCGUCCCAGUUUGAACGGCCACGACCGGGUCGACAGCUGUUGCUUGGACUGUAGCGGAAGCCACAGUNNNNNNNNNNNNNNNNNNNNNNNNNNNNNNNNNNNNNNNNNNNNNNNNNNNNNNNNNNNNNNNNNNNNNNNNNNNNNNNNNNNNNNNNNNNNNNNNNNNNNNNNNNNNNNNNNNNNNNNNNNNNNNNNNNNNNNNNNNNNNNNNNNNNNNNNNNNNNNNNNNNNNNNNNNNNNNNNNNNNNNNNNNNNNNNNNNNNNNNNNNNNNNNNNNNNNNNNNNNNNNNNNNNNNNNNNNNNNNNNNNNNNNNNNNNNNNNNNNNNNNNNNNNNNNNNNNNNNNNNNNNNNNNNNNNNNNNNNNNGAGCUGUGGCCAUGGCCUCGGGCCGGUCGAGAACCUCCAGAGGGCGGGAAGUCGUGCCGGCGCGACCACGCAUCCGGGCAGGGGGGAGCCGAGCUCAGCAGCGCCGCCGUCGCCGGAGGCGGGAGGGGCCGGUGGUGGUUAACGGCCGGGAAGGCGGAAAUCUGCAAAUUGUCGGACGUGGAUGGAGACAGGAAACGCAACAGCUCGACAGCGAAACGGUCGACGAGGUUGGGGUCGGCGUCUGCGAAGGCGUAAGGCUCAGUCAGCACAAGCUUGGAGGGCCACGGGAUCGCGUCGGGGUCGGCAGUCUAGGCAGAGAGUCGAAAAACGGACAUGUCGCUGCCGUCUAGGGUUUCCGGCGCGAGCCGCUCGAUGAGGCAAAACGGCGACCGCAACGGGAUGGCGGAGGAAAUGUCCCAGCCAUGCUUUGUGAUUCCAGUGAUCUCAAUGUCGACGGAGAUGCGCAGGGUGAUGGGCUCAGCACCGGCUCCAUGGGUGAAGGAUGAGGCAAAACCGGGAGGCGUGGAAGGGGGCCGCGACCACACGCACAUGGGUAGCAACGUCCGUGAACCGUGGGAGGAACUCACCAUCACGACAGCGAUGGACCGAAAACGCGUCCGGGCCAAGACGGAAGCGCGCGGAGAGCUCAUCCGCAAUGUCAGUGUCAGAGACGCCUUGUCAGUUUCCAGCGACCAUGGCGACGAGGGCCAGGCCGAGGGCGCGCUCGGCCUCCUCAAGACGCACGAUGCGUGGCAUGUAGCAGACUGCGCCAGCCGGACGGAGCGCAAGGUGGCCCGACAUGGCGAUGGCCGCAGAGGCAGGGCCUGCCGCGCCGGAGGAGGCAGGCAGGGAGGGGGGGCUGGAGAUUGGGGCGGAUGGCGACGGGGUGUCGGUGUACAAAAGUAGGGGUCCUUUUUUACCCCUUUACUUGUUCGCGGGCAGUCGCAGUCACAUGCUUAAGGCCGCGCUUGGCAGGGCAGAAGAGGAAGCAAAGACACAAGACUACCAGAGCAACGCCAAGACAGAGGCGCGAGGAGCGAAGGGACAAGGUGGGCUCUCCCCGACAGGAGCCUUGCCGGGGCAGCUUACGUAGCCCCGGCAAGGGCCUUUGCCGGGGCAACUUGCCCAACACCAGCAGAGCCGCCACCCUCGAGCCUAAGAGUUCCGACACCAUCGACAACAUUGGAACCAAGGCUCGGGAGGCGCCUGCAUGGUGGCAUGCAGAUCUUUGUGAAGACCAAGGACAUAGAAUACUAGAUGAGAACCAGAACACGGAAACCCCAGCAAGGACGCUCACAAGACCCCCGGCAAGACCCUUGCCGGGGAUGCCUGUGAGACCCCGGCAAGGCCCUUGCCGGGGCCCGCGGCAAGACCCUUGUCGGAGAAAUCUGCGGGGCCGCAGCCAGGCCCCCACCUGCCAAGGCUCCACCGCCGUUUCAAUACAGCAGUCAACCCGCCAACAUGGCAGGCACCCGCGUGGCGACGUGCAGCUUCCAGGCCAACUCAGCAAGCACCUACGUGGUGCCAUGCAGAUCUUCGUGAAGACUCUGCCACCGCGCCAACUCAGCAGCCAGCCAGCCAGCAUGGCGCUGCACGCCUAGUCAGCCUGGACACGCGUUGGAGCGAGGCGAGGCGGCGACGGACGAGACGAGUUUCCUUGCCAUCCCCGAUAAAGUAAGAGGGCACGUCGGCAGCGCAUUAAUUGCAUUGUCACGUUUCCUACUGGGCGUAGGGUGCAUACGUACAAAGAAAGAUCAAUACAAGAAGAUAGCAUGUUUCAUCUUAAAGUACUACAAAGUUAUAUUACAUCAAUGGUUGCUAUGGUUCUAACUUAAGAUAAAAUCGUCUUGGCAUGAACUCGCAGCGACAAAUGAGGAACGGGGUGCCUAGUCUCGGCGCUGGCCCUCCACCCUCCUGACUCCAUCAACACGGCUGAUGAUGGGCUCGAUAUGCUCCUCGAGCACCGCGAGGUCCACAUCCUCCGGCAAGCUCUCCAGCGCAUCGGCAAGACGUUGGGGUUCCAGUACGCCACCUUGAUGAGGACCUUGGUCAGGGCGCCCCGGCAGAGCUUCCGGACCUCAAUGGCCAGAGAGGUCGCUCGGUUGGAACGGAACUGCUCCAGGGCGUCGAGGACGCCCUCGAAGAACAGGGUCAGCCUGGCGUUGGGGCUCACGUUCGGCUCCUGAGAGUACCUGAUGUUCGGUAUCCCCAUGGCAGCCAGCUCCGUGGUGAUCUUGCCGGCGACGUUGACGAGGCGGCUGAUCCAGAGGUUUACGCCCUUCGCGUACUCCUCGUACUCGGCGGCACCAUCCCUCCGCAGCCGCUUCUCAUCCUAUAGGGCCUUGUUCAGGGUCUCCUCACAAGCCCCGGCCUACGAAAUCCAGCUUCAACUUCAGAUCAUUGAUGGAGUCGUUGGCCUCGGAGAGCAGCUUGGCCUUGUUGGAGAUGGCGGCCUGCGCAUCCGCCAGAGUGCGGGUGGCCGCGUCCCUCUCCUCCGUCGGCGCCGAGACUCUCUUCUUCAGCUCCUCCCGCUCCAGCUCCAGCUCCUUCACCUUGCCGGCAUGGACUAGGGCCUGAGCAUCGAGUGCCUCCUUGUGCCUCUGCCCCAGCUCCUGGGUCCACUGCGCGACGAGCUUCUCGACCUCCUCAUCCUUGCCACGGAGUGUGGCGGCGAGCGCCUCCUCACAGGCGGGAAGCUCCUCCUCCUGGGAGUUCAGUAGAGCCUGGUGCUGUUGCCGAGCGGCCUCGUCCUUGGCGGCCUGUUCCUUCGCCACCUCCUGGGCCUUCUCGACGUCAGCCUGCUUCAGGAUGAGCUCCCGUUUGUGCUCAGCCAUCUCACCCUGGGCAGCCUUCAGUUCUUCCUGAGCCUCGCGGAACCAGGCCUCCGUCUGAGCGACGCUCUCCUCAAGAUCUACCUCCGCCUUGUCCGUUGCCGCCAUCCUGGACUUCGCCUUGUCUAGGCGGGCACGGUGGAGCGCCUAGAGCUUCUGGAAGUUGACACUCAUGGCCCGGAGAAGCUGCUCCUCUUGGGAACCGCCACCGCUGGCGCUCGGUUCAUUAACAACCUGAAGCCCGGCGGUGGCGAGCGCCUCGUCGUCGAACACCUCCCCCUCGGUUGGCGCCCUGGUGCUCGCCGUCCCUGGGAGAUAGACGAACAGGUCGUCGCCCACCUUCAAGUACUUGCCCGGGCCAGGAGCUGUAGGGGAGGAAGGUUGGUCGUCAGCCACCCCCUCCCCGGCAGGCCCCUUGGUAGCAUCCUCAGCAGCGGUCUUGGCGGCCUCCUCGGCAGCAAUCUUGUCGGCCUCGGCCUCGGCGUCCUUGGCGACCUCCUCUAUGACGGUAUCAAUAUCCUCCUGGUCCGCCGAGGGAGGGUUUGGAUACCGAGAAGGAGAACGAGACGGGGCCAAAAUCAAGGUUCAAGAAGAAGAAGAAAAGACAGGGACAUGAGGCAGGCCACGUACCCGCGCCAAGCUAGGAAGAAGUGUUUCCCUCCCCGCCACGUUCGUUGUCGGGAUGGAGCCACUGCUGCCCAAGUUUGCCUCCUCCUCCGCCGUGCACGUGGGCUCGGUGCUUGGUGCCCUUGUCGGGGACGCCCCUCUGGGUAGCGUGGUUGACGGGGGCAGCGUGUUGGGGUGGCCCUCAGUGGCUCCUCCUGCUGCCGCUCUCCUCCUGCGAACCCGGCAAGAUCAGCACCAAGGGAUCGUGCCCCAACACACACCAACGGGAAGUGAGUAGUGAACUCACGAUCGGGGCUGAAGCGGGGGCUGCGUCGGGGGCUGUCGUCCGGGAUGAUCACCACCAACUCCUGCGUGCACGGAGUACUCGCCGGGGGCUUGUCGCCCGUCGAGGCCCUGGCCCUCUUCGCCACCCUAUGGGCCAACGUCUUCGUGUCCCUGUGAGGAUAACAUCAAGAUAAAGAAGGAUAGCACAGGGGUGGGGCCGGGAGAUGAUGGAGGGUGAAGUCCUUACUCGUCCUCCGCCUCCUCUUCCACUAGCCUCCUCUUCCUCUUCGGAUUGAAGGACCCGAGGUCAAAAUUAACCUCCGAGGUGCCAUCCGAAGGAGAAGGAGAAGGGGAUGGGGUCCGGCGCAGCUUGGAUGAGGAGGAAGCGGUCACCUUCUUCUUCGCUACCGCGGUUUUCACCGCCUUCUUCGCUGUCGUGGCCUUCGUCACCGCGGCUCUCGUCUGGCGCACUGACUGCUCCUGGGCCAGUUGCCGCUGCACGGUCCUGCCGGGCCGGACCGGCUCACCGGAGCUGGCCCGCUGCAGGACGCGCCUCUUCUCUAUGGCCGAGGGGUCGACAGACUUGGCCUCUUCUUCAGUCAACUCCUCGACUACGUCUUCAACGAGGGGGCCCGGUGCCGGCGCUGCUGGCCUCCCCAGCAGACUCCGCCCAUCCGGCGAGCUCUUUCUCCUCCGCGGCCGCGUCGGCCUCAUCCUCCACGAUGCUGGCGCUGCCAGCCUCCUUGGCGAGCGCCGCAUCCGCCGCCCUAGUGGCGUUGUAGUCCAGCUCCUCCUUGGUGGUGUCGCGGAUGAGCAGCGGCUCAUAACGGACAUAAUUCUCCGACAAGUUGUCGAAGAACGCCUGCGCCUCUUCCGCUUUCGGCUCAACCCAGAGCGGAUCGAGGCCGUGUGCGUUGAAGUCCGGCAUCAUGGCAAUGAUGGCGGUCUGGUGAGAGUUGUUGCUCAACAGGACCACGCCCGCCGGCAACCCAAACAUAGACGCCUUGACGGCCUUGCCGGCCUUCUCGGCUCUGCCGGUCCUCUCAGCCCUGCCGUCAUCACUCACCAUGAGCUGGAAGAACCUCUGGCAGAAGUGAGCAUGCCCCAUCACCGUGAAGUUGUGCUUCAAGCCAGGGCGGAGCCUCAUGACGUCGGCCGCGUUCUUGUAGUCCCAGGCCGGCCUCCCCUUGUUGUGCAGUGGGGUAAUCCGGCGGCGGAUGAAAUCAGCCCCGAUCAUUUCGAGGGUGAGCCCGGCCACGGUGAGGUGGUUGAUCCUGGUGGUGGCAACCGAGAGCUUCUUGUCAUUGGCAUCGAGGUCGCUCCAGUCCUUGCGGCGGACCGGCGAACCCGGCAGAACUCCCGUGGAUCCUUCUCCUCGAUCCAGCACCACCGGCUUCGCCACUCGUCCCACCUCUCCUACUGGGCACCCUCCGGAUACGUGCCCUUCUCCUGAGACCUCGGGAUCCAGGUGAUGUAGCUGGAGAUGGCGCCCCCUGACUGGAUGCGAGGGUAGAAGUAGUGGCGGAAGAGCGUGCUGGGGCGCACUCCGGUGAAGCCCUCGCGGAGAUGGGCGAAGAGGGCCAUGCACGCCACGGCAUUCGGCGUAAGAUCCAAAAGAUGGAAGUCGUAGGUGUGCAUGACAUCGUUGAAGAAAUCAGAGAAAGGGGGGCAGAGCCCGCAAGAGAAGUAGUCAAUGAAGAAGGGGUACCGAUUUGGGCCGGCCUUGGCAAAAUCGGCAGGGACGAUGCGCAUGGCGGGGUGCCCCGUCAUCUCCCUCCCCCACAGGGGCCUGAAGUAGUUCCUGAGAUGGACCGCAUCGACCGUCGAGGGGAAGUAGGUGUGCUGCGUCCGCAGCACCGCCAACUGGCUCUCCGGCGCCUCUUUCUCCCCGACGUCCUUGGCCACCCCUUUUGCCUUUGCCUGUCUUGGGCACCAUGGCGACUGAGAGGGGAUGGAGGAUUAAGGGCGGUGAGGGCGCGGCGGCGGUGAGCAAAGGCAAGAGCUUGAUGAAGAAGAAGGGAGCGACGGUUCCGAGAUUGGGGAAGGCACAGGGGGUAAAUGAGCAGCGCGCCUGCGGUUUCUCCUUUUUUAUGGGGAAGGCGCGGGCCGCCUCUUUACCAUUUACCACGAUGUGACGCAAGCGUGCUGCAACCGCCCCACGCACGACCCCCACGUCACACAUUCAACAUGGGUCGUGGGGAAGUGCAACUGGCGAGGGAGUUACUGCGGUGGAACUCUGCCACGCGUACCCGUGCACCGUUCUGGGCCUGCCCAAUAACGCUCCGCGCUUAUAUGUGGCCCAGGCCCGGGGGCUCCUGUUGGUGUACAAAAGUAGGGGGUCCUUUUUGUACCCCUUUACUUGUGCGCGGGCAGUCGCACCCACACGCUUACUGCCGCGCUUGGCGGGGCAAAAGAGGAAGCAAAGACACAAGACUACCAGAGCAACGCCAAGACAGAGGCGCGAGGAGCGAAGGGACAAGGUGGGCUCUCCCCGACAGGAGCCUUGCCGGGGCAGCUUACGUAGCCCCGGCAAGGGCCUUUGGCGGGGCAACUUGACCAACACCAGCAGAGCCGCCACCCUCGAGCCUAAGAGUUCCGACACCAUCGACAACAUUGGAACCAAGGCUCGGGAGGCGCCUGCAUGGUGGCAUGCAGAUCUUUGUGAAGACCAAGGACAUACAAUACUAGAUGAGAACCAGAAGACGGAAACCCCGACAAGAUCCUUGUCGGGGACGCUCACAAGAUCCCCGGCAAGACCCUUUGUCGGGGACGCCUGCGAGGCCCCGACAAGGCCCUUGCCGGGGCCCCGGCAAGACCCUUGCCAGAGACAUCUGAGGGCCCCCACCUGCCAAGGCUCCACCACCGUUUCAAUACAGUAGUCAACCCGCCAACAAGGCAGGCACCUGCGUGGCGAGGUGCAGCUUCCAGACCAACUCAGCAAGCACCUGCGUGGUGGCAUGCAGAUCUUCGUGAAGACUCUGCCACCGCGCCAACUCAGCAGCCAGCCAGCGUGGCGUUGCAUGCCUAGUCAGCCUGGACGCGCGUCAGAGCGAGGCGAGGCGGCGACGGACUGGACGAGUUUCCUUGUCAUCCUCGAUAAAGUAAGAGGGCACGUCGGCAGUGCAUUAAAUGUGUUUGUCCUAUGGUGCCAGGCGAUAGACUUGUAUACAGUACAAACUUUCCACCUCCUGUGUGCCACUGUGGCACCCCCCUUUGGCUAUAAAAGGAGGCCCGAGGCAUACUGGAGGAGGAUUCGGACUUUUUGGACCCUGCACGCUUUAUAGCUAGUCCAAGAACACCAGAUAAACACAAACCAGCAGGAGUAGGGUAUUACACAUCACUUGCGGCCCGAACCUGGAUAAAUUCCCCGUGUUGAUCUUCUAAACCCGCUCUUUCCACAGCCCCGCGCCCGCCAACCGUAGAAGGGAUUCCCCAUGAUCCCAUAGGUGUCGUUUCCACCGACACGGGGUGCGGGCCGGAGGGGCCCAGCCACGCCUGGGGUAGAGGAGCCCAACAAGCGCGGAGAGGACACGCGGUCACUUGGCGGUGGGAGCGCCGGACGGAGGAGAGAACCGAGGGUUGGUGCAAAAUCGGGCGAUGUGCCCAAAGAAGCGGCACCGCUGGCAGCGCACGUCCCUCCGGCACUCGAAGCGGGGGUGCCCGGUGCCAAGGCAGUGCGGGCACUCGUCUGCCCACGGCGAGGGGGUACGCCGGUCGGCGAGCGGUGGGGAUCUAACAGCGCGCCGACGAGGAGCGCGGCGGGGGCGCGGGCGCCUCCUACCCGAAGUCGUUUCCCAGUCGCCAUCAGUGUCCAGACCAACCUCGUUCACGACCCGGUGCACCUCAAAUCGGGGCCCUGGGCGCACGGCGGGUGGCGAGGGUGGUGGCGGCGACGAGGGGGAAGCGAGCGCCGGGGAGGAGCAGAGCGUGUUGCGGUAGGAGCGGCCGCCGGAUUCCGACGAGGAGGGGCUGGACUCCAUCCAGCGGAGCUGACGGGAGCGGCCUGGGCCGGGGGGAGGGGGAGCGGGAGGCCAUACCGAGCGGCGGCGCCGGAGCCUUCGCGGGGUUGGUGGACGCCGGGGCCGGAGUGGCCAGCGGCGGCGGUGGGAGCAUGGGAGCGUGACUCAAAUGAAUGUACCUAGACGUAGUAGUAGUUUUUCAAGUACGUAAAAAGGUGCAUAUAAACUUAUCAAUUUGGGAACACAAUGUUGAAAGCCCCUCAUAAUUUAGUGGUUUGGUUUAAAAAAAUAUCUGAUUUUAAUUCUCAUUUAUAUGUAAGUAAUGCAAACUAUAUGGGAGCGGCAUUUUGGCUCUGGGGUCCAGAUGAACCCUUUAUCUGAGCCGGUCAUUCAGUAGUAGGGAUCUGCGUUAAUGAGUUUUCGGUCCUAUUGGUGUUCGCAAGUAAAUUCACUGUUGGUCACUGGACUCGUCCCUCUAUUUUACUUUGGUCACUAGACUUAGAAGUACCAUAAUACAGUCACGAAAGUCACAUCCGUGAACUCUAACGGUCACCGUGUACAUUUUGGUUAUGUAUUCUUCCUACAUCGCAUACUGUUUGACCGAUUGACCGUCCACGUAUGUGCUAGCAGACCAGCAACAUAGUGAAAUUCAUAGGCGGUCAUUGGACUUGUCCUCAGAGGCAUGGGCCACUUGCAUGCGUUUUUUUUUGCAAAACCCCCGCGUAGUAAAUGNNNNNNNNNNNNNNNNNNNNNNNNNNNNNNNNNNNNNNNNNNNNNNNNNNNNNNNNNNNNNNNNNNNNNNNNNNNNNNNNNNNNNNNNNNNNNNNNNNNNNNNNNNNNNNNNNNNNNNNNNNNNNNNNNNNNNNNNNNNNNNNNNNNNNNNNNNNNNNNNNNNNNNNNNNNNNNNNNNNNNNNNNNNNNNNNNNNNNNNNNNNNNNNNNNNNNNNNNNNNNNNNNNNNNNNNNNNNNNNNNNNNNNNNNNNNNNNNNNNNNNNNNNNNNNNNNNNNNNNNNNNNNNNNNNNNNNNNNNNNNNNNNNNNNNNNNNNNNNNNNNNNNNNNNNNNNNNNNNNNNNNNNNNNNNNNNNNNNNNNNNNNNNNNNNNUUCGGUAACCACCUCCCAAAUUGAACCCCUUUCCCCAGCCUUCACCGCCAUCGCGUGAGGGAGGUGCAACCAACUGGUGCUCAAGGAGGGACGGCGCACGUCACCAUCAAUGCUCACCAAAGCCAUUGAGUCUGAGAGAGGCAAUUGUCAUUCUCGUAUCCCACCUGGAGGAGGAGGCACAGGAGUUCGGGUGACGGCACCAUGUUUUUCCGCACGGUCAGUACCUAAGUCCAUGAAGCCGGCUAACUCGCGUACGAGGAACACAAGGCAAUCCCGGAGUGAUGCUCCUGGUUGUAUAUCUAUGCAUCCCUCACAGGGGCCUUACCGCUAGAGCCAGCACCUCCGACGGCCUUGGACAACGCAUGUAUGUCAUGUUUCUCUCUGUUGUGUAGGUUCCAGUUUCAUUGUAAGACACUUCCUCGGCCGCUAAGAAGGACCGUGAGGAGGAGCUCUCAUCCAUUCCUCGUGGUGACCCUAUUGGAGUUGGAUUGCAUGCACGAGCACCACGACCAAAACAUGGGCCAUCGUGCAAGGAUCAUGCGGGUUAGUGUGAGUAGCACCAUCGCGUGUGUACUCUCCCCGUGAAAAUUGCAUGGCGGAUUCCAGUGACCGACACAAUAGUGGUCGUAGUGGACUCCAGCAACCGCACACAUAUGCACACGCGCCACGAGCACGGCGACGCCCACCCCAACGACGACCACGAUGGCAUGAUUCUUGCCUUGCCAGUCUUGACUCAUCAUUAUUACAACACCGCCCUAACACCAACGUCAUGUGUAGCUGCGCCUCCACCUUGAACUGGAACCUCCUCCUCAUUGCCAUCUGUUGGAAAUAUGCCCUAGAGGCAAUAAUAUUUGUAUUAUUAUAUUUCCAUAUUCAUGAUUAAGAGUUUAUAUUAUAUGCUAUGACUGCUAUGAUCCCGGAAUAUGCGAUUCAGUGGAAAACUCAUAUGCACAUGUGGAAUAAUAAAUGGUAAAUUAAAGGUUCCUAGUCUCUCCUCUAAGACUAGCUCAAGUAUUGUUGGUGAUCACGUUUUUCGGAUCUUAGGAUAUCACUGAGUGUAAUGAUAGUCCUAAAACAACAUUGAGAUUAUGACAUUGGAAGAACGAUCAUAAUGAAUCGACUCAAUCUUGUUUGUUAUGAAUUGAGUUAAUAUCGUCUGCAUUCAAUUGUAAUAACAUGGAGUGUUAACAUCUGAUAUUGCUCCUUAGACCAUGAGAGUAUCGUGGCCACUUCUUACUAUAUUAUGGGCUUUGGGGUUGCUCAAAUGUCACCUAUAACACGGUGAUCAUAACGACAACUUACAGGUUCAUCGAAAAGUUUGACAAGUGAAUGGAUAACUCGAGAGUGGGAUUUGCUCCUCCGACGAUGGAGAGAUAUUCUUAGGGCCCUCUCAGUGUGAUGGCAUCAAUCAUCGUCUGACCAAACACACAUGGCUUCAUCAAGGGGAUGCCAGAACACAAUAAUGAGAAAGAAGAACAAAAUCGGUAACGAGGAUUUCGGUAUAGUGAGCAUGGUGAUGAGUCAGGAGGAUACCGAUGCAUCCCAAGUUUUUUGAAGUAUCGUGAAUAAAAGUUAACAUCACAUGAUAACCAAAGGUUCACUUGACUAUCAUUCGUGUACUCACAGGGACCAAUAUGGACGUCCACGGUCCCGUUAUUGGUCAUUGAACGAACGGUUUCGUCCAUGUCCGUGAGUUACUGAACCUACUGGGUCACAAGCUCAAGGCAAUCACGAUCUGCUGAGUGUUAGUAGGCCGGGAGUCAUGAGAAUAUAUUUGUGGAAUUAUUUCAUGAAUAUUCGAAGUAGUUUCGAGAGGAUCCAGAAGAGUUUCGAUGAGUAUCGGGUAAUACCGGGUAUUACCGAUAAAUUAUAUAUAGGUGGAAAAAGUUUCUGGAGAUGUUAAAAAAUAUAUAAUAUGGUCUAGAAGUAUUUAUAACAUUUUAUAUUUAAUUUAAAUAUCAACGGGCCUAAAAAGGCCAAGAGGUGGAAGGCAAGUUGGGCCAAAAAGGCCCAAGUGGGAAGUGGGGAAGCCGACCAAAGGGGAGGGACAUUCCCUCUCCUUGUGGCACCCCUCCUCUCCCCUCCAACCUAUAUAUACUAGAGGAUUUCCACCGUUUGGACAUGCAAGUUUUGGAACCUCCUCUAGUUCUUCUAGUUCUAGUUCUGGUUGGUCCUAGUUGACUAAUUAGAGCUAGACUAACAUCUUGUCCUCAUAAUUAGAAUACAUGUGUGGUUAUAAUCUCCUCCCUCUAAUUCUCUGACGAUGAUUAGCUCUAGAUGAUGAAGCGCUGCCGAGUCGUGAAGGCUGCACACUUGCAACCAAGUAGAGAGGUCGUGCUUUCGGUCUUCGGUUCGAGGGGUUGUUCGUGGGCGGUACAAGGGAUGGUUGAUCGACGGUUUGAGGGACUCCAAGUAUGAUGUACACCAACACGUUCUUCUUCC
This 46605-nucleotide long non-coding RNA is filed under the name Triticum aestivum (bread wheat). RNAcentral describes it as "long non-coding RNA (TAES_LNC024181)". Lineage: Eukaryota; Viridiplantae; Streptophyta; Magnoliopsida; Poales; Poaceae. The record is from RNAcentral.